RNAcentral lists this long non-coding RNA (84156 nucleotides) under Lynx pardinus (Iberian lynx). The stretch from base 56628 to 56712 matches the Rfam family "tRNA". Lineage: Eukaryota; Metazoa; Chordata; Mammalia; Carnivora; Felidae. The record is from RNAcentral.
ACUCAAUUAGAGAGAGAAACUGAUUAUAGGUUUUCUAGAGCUUACACUUAGCGAUGGCUGCUCUCCUCAGGACAUACCUUUGAAAGGUAGGAGAAUAUGUCUCAUGGUUGAGAAUACAGUUAACCCUCAAACAACAUGGGUUUGAACUGUGUGUGUCCACUUACAUAUGGGCUUUUUUUUUUUUUGGAUAAAUACAGUACUGUAAAUGUGUUUUAUGAUUUUCUUUAUUUUCUUUUCUCCGGUUUAGUCUAUUAUAAGAAUAUAGUACAUAAUACAUAUAUGUGUUAAUCAACUGUUUACGUUGAUUACAACGUUGAUUUACAACAGUAAGCUAUUAAGUUUUUUUGGGGGGGUCAACAAUUACAUGUGAAUUUUGGCUGUGGGGGGUGGGGGUGGUCAGCUGCCCUAACCCCCACACUGUUCAGGGGUCAACUGUACUUGAAUUUAGCGUUCAACUUCUUAGCAUUUGGAAUAAGAGAGUGGACUUACUGCUGAUAUACUAAUAAUACAAGUACUCAAACUCAUCUCCUCCUUUGAAGCCCUGUAUAAUUGCUCUUAUUGUUUGAAGUGUCCCUGUUAUAAAAGUACAAAUAGAUUCCCAUUCUGUGAACUCCCACGUGAGAGAUAAAAUGUAACAUAAAAUAUUUAUGGACAUUCCCCUCUCCCAUCACCUCUGACCCUUCUCAGCAUGUUGAUUGUGGUGAUGAAGGUCAGGGUAGACUGGGUGAAAGAAAGGAGAAAUGUUUGCUCUGUUAUUAUUACGAACAGUAAAGAGCUUCUCAGAGGAAACCAUAAUCUGACAGGCUAGCAAGAGAAUUUAGAAAGUAACGUCAGUAAACUCCCUGAGUUAGGGAAGAGAAUUUUGGAUGUUUUUGAGAGUAGAGGGGGAGAACUGAGGGUAGCUGAUUACACGAGAUUAGAAGAGAAAUGGAGUGGAAGAUUUUAAGAAGUUUACACGGUGUUCUGAACAUAAUUUCUCUUAGGUGCCUUUUUAAGUGACUUUAGUCAAUACUGACGGUCCUUUCUAAGACUUUUUGUGUGGUUGAUGUGGGUUCUCUUUUGGAUUUGAGGCAGAGAUGCCGCUUACUAGUUACAUUACACCUGUAAAAUGUUUUGCUACUUACUUUGUUGUUUCAUCCUGCCACUUGUCUGCAAUACUACCGACGCCAUGAGAUUGAAGGAAAAUGGCCUUUAGAACCGCACAGCUGCACUUGUUUGUUGGAAGGAGGCAGGUUCUUCUGAUACAUAGUAUUAGAAGGCAGGUUCUUUUCAUACAUGGUAAUGUGUUUAAUAUGGUCAGUGCCUUAAAUUCUCUGAACUAUUUCUGAAAAGUGAGUGUAUUACUAUGCAACUUGCAUGAGAGGAAUUCAGUGAAAUCAUUUGAAGUGCCUGGCAGGCAGUCAUAUUUGUAACAGUAGUGCGGAAAACCAGGACUCAAGGAAUGUGAUCAAAACAUGGCUUUAUUUUUGUCUUCAACUCUUAAUUAUUUCGUUAUUGGGGCAGUUACCCAGGCCACUGAGAAUUUUGGCACAGUGUAUCAUUUUCUGGACAUUCUUGGAAAUAAUAGAUAACCAAUCAUUUUGUGUAUCAAAAUCAGAUGAGUUAGAAAUGUCCAAUGAAUAAUGGGCAUGGUAAUCUACAAAUUAAUACUUUAGUCUUCAUUUAAAGAUACGGACCCUCUCCCCAGCCCACUCACUAAGUUGCGGCAGCCUAAGUAGGCCAGUCUAUGUUUUGGAGAAUGAAGUAUGAUUAGCCCUUCCUUCCUUCUUUAUUAUCUGUUCACCUGUUUUCUUAAGGUUAAGUUGACAACCUACCUCUAUUGAAUGCAGGGGGGAAAAUUGGGAAUAGACUGAGAAAAUUCUUGGUUGGUCAGUGAUAAGUUUGGCUUACAAGAUGGAUUCUGGCUGAUGGGUUCAGCUAAGCUUUCAUGGGUAUCUCCAUGGAUUCUUUGAUGGCUCUACUACUAAACUUCCCUAAGUGUGACUCUACAGACGCGGACAGUGUCUUUACUUCUGGUUAGUGUGGUCCUUAUCCGUACUUCAUGCAUAUCUCUGGCAGUCUGCUCCACAUAUAUUCCAUAGAUCUCCUUGCCCUCUGGCAGAACCCCUCUUUGAUGGGAUUCCUGUUUAAAUGGCUGAGCUUACCAGUGAGACUUCAUAUCAGAAGACUGAUAAUUCACACAGGGGAGUUCAGUGACUUCCCAAGCCCCCACCCUCUAUCGGCCUUGUAACUACGGGCCGUUCCAUCCAGCUCUCCCCUUUAUUCUUCAGGCAUAUGUCACUCUCCAAGUUCCUGCAUCCCCCCAGGAUGCAGGAAACAUCAUCCAACAACAUUUGGCUCUGUGGAAACACAGAGCCAAAUAGCCCUGCAAAUUUAAAUAGACCUGUAAAUUUAAAGUAAGAUGGUGAGAAGAGAAAGGAUGGGGGGGGGGUGUCAUAGUGUAACUUUUCCAAACAAAUAAUUUUCACAAAAAUUAUUCUUCCUAAUUUCUAUUCUUAUGAUCUCUUUUUUUCUUCCUUGUGGGUUUCAGAUCCAUACAGCUCCCAGAAUUACUUUGAAAUGUCUGCAGGUGGUAGGGUAUCCCAUCUUAGAAUUUCUCGUCUAUUUUAUUUCACUUCCUCGGUGAAAUGUCAAAGUUUACAUCCUGUUACACACUCAUAUAUCACCAUUUUCCUGUGUUACUGCCACCAGAUGAAACAUAAGUUUUGUGCAAAUUCUAGUGAUAAUAAUGUCUUCUGUAAGGCCCAUGAUAUACCUUAUAUGGCAAUACUCACAGAGUAGAUCUACAAGAAAGCAGUUUUGGCAAAAUUAAAUUCCUUAGAUUUGUCCUAAUUAACAUAUACAUAAAGAUGUGGUGUGUUUGAGUGUUCUAUAAGUAUUUGCUGCAUUAAAGAAAAUGAGUUAUCAUGAGCUCUGACUUUGCUACUGAUUGGCUGUGUUAUUUCAGGUGAAAAAUCACCUCAAGAGAUUGUUUCUUAUUUAUGAAAGGGAGAUUCUAUUGAUAUCACCUGUGAACACUUCCAACUUUCAAAGCCCCAUGAUUUUGUAAUUCCACACAUGGAUUUUUCUUGUUAUAAUAGAUUCACAUGUGUACCUUCUCUGAUCAAGUAGAUGGCAGGAGAAUGUGGGUAGGGACUGUAUUACUUGUGUGUGAGAGUUAACAAAAUUGAUUUUACACUCCAACUUCCAUAAAGAACCCAAGUGUUCUGGCUAAGAGAACAUCAAGGGCAAUGCCAAGGAUGCUACUGUUGGGUAGCCUUUCUAGUUGUUGGAGUUUGGGGUGAUGAGGAAUCGAUUGAAGGACAUGGUGUCUCUAUAGAAUGGUUUUUUUUUUUUAAGUCUGCUCUUUGGUUUCUCUUCUGGAGAUUAUAGCCUUUGUGAAAUUUGUUCCAAUAUAUAUACAGGUAGGAUCUACAGGGUUUGGUAAUUGACAUGUCCCACAUAGAAGCACCAGCCAUGAAAGCUCAAAUGAGAGGGAGAGAUCACUCUAUCUGUUGGGCCCAGGGAAACCUUCACAGGAGAGACAAACUUAGCAGAGUCUUAAGAAAUGAUUAAGCAUUCAUGACGCAAAAGGAGAAGGAAGGAAGGUCACCUGAGGGAGAAGAAGGAGGAAGUGUAAAUCAUCUCUUCUCUCCUGUGGGAUCUGCAAUAACUAAGAAAAAGAUGAGGAAUCAGAGAUCCAAAUAUCAGCAGUAUACUGUAACAGUAAAAUUGCACUUACCUUAGGAUGUAGUAAUUCUCCUCUGAUAUACAUACCGUAGAGAAACUCACAUAUGUGUACAUGAAGGCAUAUCACAGAAUAUUCACAGUAGUAUGCCUCUAAUAGUGAAAUAGAGCCAACAACCUGAAUAUCCAUCACCAUAAAGAUGCAGUAUAUUAAUCCAUGGGGAUGCUAUAAUCAGUUAAGAUGAAUGUACUAGCAAUAAUACAUCUAUCAACAUGAAUAAACCUUGACAACAUAAUAUUGAGUAAAAUAUGUUACUCAAGUGAAAAAAGGAACUUUUUAUGUGAAUAUGUUAAUAUGAUACUAUUCAUAUAUAAACAUAAAUAAGCAAAACAAAAUUUGAUAUUGUUAAGGAAUGCAUAAGUAUAUGAAAAUCUUCAGAAGACCAUGGGGGAGAGGAAGGGGGAAAAAAGUUACAGAGAGGGAAGGAGGCAAACCAUAAGAGACUCUUAAAUACUGAGAACAAACUGAAGGUUGAUGGGGGUGUGGGGGAGAGGGGAAAGUGGGGGAUAGGCAUUAAGGAGGGCACCCAUUGGGAUGAGCACUGGGUGUUGUAUGGAAAACAAUUUGACAAUAAAUUAUAUUUAAAAAUAAGUAAAUUAAAAAAUAAAGAAAAAAUAUUCAGGAGGAUGAUAAACACAAAGUUCAGUAGUGCUUCUCUCUGUGAUAGGAAGUGUGUGGGACAAGAAUGGGAACAAGAAGGAACAUACAGGGGUGCCUGGGUGACUCAGUUAAGUGUCCGACUUCAGCUCAGGUCAUGAUCUCACAGUCCGUGAGUUUGAGCCCCUCGUCGGGCUUUGUGCUGACAGCUCAGAGCCUGCAGCCUGCUUCAGGUUCUGUGUCUCCCUCUCUCUCUGCCCCUCCCCUGCUCAUGCUCUGUCUCUCUCUGUCUCAAAAAUAAAUAAAAACAUUAAAAAUUUUAAAGAAAAAGAAGGAGCAUACAGAGAAUUGUAAUUUUAUGGAUAGUGGUUUAGCUCUUAAGCCAAGUCAUUGGAGUAUUUUUUUCCUUCUAGUGUUCUCUAGCAUCAUUGGAUGUCUGAAAUAUAUGUCUCCUACAAGCACAGAAUCUUUUUGAAAUAAGGUUUAUUACUGGCAAACUAUACAGAGAUACAUGGCUUAAACCCAAUCCCACAAUGGGCUCCCAGUCUUUCACCUGAACUGACUUUGACCAGCGAGUACAGGGCAGAGAAUCCAUGGUCCAGUGACCUUGUCCUAGGGUAGCAGGAACAGAGAAAACAGACUGAACUCCUUGUUUCCUUGCACAGAGGUAUGAGUGAGGUGGAGAGAAGGUCACAAGCUUUUCCUCAGUAUUUCUAAGAGAGAAAAAAUUCCUAUUAUGUGGGUUUCUCAUUUUAAUAAAACCAGAAUCCUCUAUUUCUACUUAUGUCAUUUAAUUAAAGUUUUAUUAAUAUCAAAAUUCACCCACAUUAUCCAUAGCUACUCAACUUUUAUAAACUAUGCCUUUGGUUAAAGUAAUUAGACUUCUCAAGGGUUCCAUGAUACUUAUUUGGAAACAUAAAGGCAGCAAAUGCACUUCGAGUGACUGUCACGUGCAGCCCUUUGCCACCUCAGGAACUUAAGAGGUUCCCCUCUGCCUCCCUGAAGAAGCAUCCUCAAUUGCAAACAGACUGUGUGACAAUAGAAUCUGAUUAGACUGCCCCAGGUCUGUCUGGGUAACUAGUGUGCCACAGCUACUUGUGAAAGACUGGUGAAGAACCAAGAAAAACUGGCAAUAUUUUAAUUCUUUAAGGCAUUGCUUCCAUAUAAGGAUUUCAAUACACAACAUAUUUCCCCCAAAUUCUAAUACAUGGAGAUCGCCUGGAGAGGCUGUGUGUGAAAACAUGGCUGGCGUGGCUGGUGAGUAGAGUCUGGUGGGAAAGGGAGGUGUUUGGAGCUGGAAGUUGGUUCCCACACUGAGGUUCUGUUAGGUUCCAAUGUCAAGAGCACAGAGCCAGUUAACAAUUAGGGAUGAGCUGUUGGUUGCAACUAGAGGUGAAGUGCUGUAGUUGCCCGGGUGUGCUUGAACAGGUACCCAAGGAGCAGUCAGUAGGGUUGAAAUCGAGGAUCACGCCCAUUUUCCCCUCCUGCAAAAUUCUCCGAGGGAGAAACAAAUUCAAAUACAACAAGGUAAAUGAUAAAACAGUUGUCUGGAUUAUAAGUCACCAGUUUUAGUUCCAUUUGACUUGUGACAGGGUAAAUUCACACAUUUUUAUCAAGAUAGACAAAAACAAAAAAAUACCAUGCACUUUAUUGGGGGAAAAUGUACCAUGACUAAUCCAAGGCAAUCCUUAAGUCCUUUCCAAAUAUUUCAGUCUAGAAGCCACACUAAGAAAGCCAGCCAGUAAGAAUAGAAAAGGCAUGUCACAAAAUCUGGGAGUUAGACAAUGAGGGCUCUAAUCGGGGUCCCCAACCAAAAGCUCUUUGACUUUGGGGGAAAGUUGCUAAAUGUCUAUAAGCCUUACUUUAUAAUGCAAGUGAUCCUAAAGGUGUCAAAUGAAGUAAUACAUGUAUGUAUGAGGGAUAGAAUGGGUCGCCUCAAAAUGGGCCUCGUCUUUUCCCCAUAAGGGGUGCCCCUAGACUUCAAAGCUGACUUACGUUUCCCAGUCACCCAGCACUGUCUGAGAAUUCUAGUCCCGUCUUCCCAGAGAGGCCUUUCUCCUGGUGUUUCUGUAUUUCUGUUGCCAGUCUUGACAAGAAGCCAGGGGGAAAAUCAUUGCAGUAUUUCAGAAAUGCUCAUUCAUUUUUACUGUUCUUCUACUGGUGAGUGGACUUGGGUUAUUCCUCUGAACACAUCUGCCCUGAAUUUGCAUGUAUAAUGAAAAUGAGUUUUUUGUUAAAAUGUUUUUGUUAAGCUGGGUUCAAAUUUUUAUUUCAAAAUAUUUUGUUGUGGUCAGGAUACACACUUUCUAAAAGGAACUCCUUUGUGGAAAAAAAAUAUGGGUAACCCAAAGUGGGUGGCUGCUAAGGGAAAGAGCCCUAAACUAGCACCACCACUGUAUACAUAAUUCUGGCAAUUGACAGCUGUUGGGAGGAAAAGGUCAAUUAUCAUUUAAGCAAAAUAUUUAUUGAGGUGUGGAUACAUACCCAAAUCUUCAGUGCACAAACCAACAAUUCAUAUAUAUAUAUACAUAUAUAUAUAUGUAUAUAUAUAUAAUAUAUAAUUUAUAUAUAUGUGUGUGUGUUUGUGUGUGUGUAUAUAUAUAUAUAUAUAUAUAUAUAUAUAUAUAUAUAUAUAUAUAAUGUUUUUAAUACUUUAGAAGGACGCUUUGUGCCCCUUCCUAAGGUCAUACCUACUGUCUGCCCUUUACCUCCUAAAAAAUCAGGUAACCAAUAUUCCGACUUCUGGAACUACACUUUAGUUCCUGCUGUUCUUGAACUUCAUAUACUCCAUUAGACAGUGUGCUCUUUCGUGGUGUGCUUCUUUCACUCAUCCGUGGUGGUGUCUGUAAGAUUCAACUAUGACGUUGCUUGUAACAGAUGUUCUCUUUAUCUGUUGUAUGGUAUUCCACUUGGUGAAUAUUUUGCAACUGGUUUAUCCAUUCUACUGUAGGUAGACAUUUAGGUUCUAGUUUUUAGCUCGUAUGAAUAAAACCACUGUGAAAUUCUUAUCUUUGUCAUGUGGUAGACAAAUGUACUCAUGUAUCUGUGUCAAGGGAUAGAUAUGUAUUCGGCUUUAAAAGUAGAUAGUUUCAAAAGGUCUUCCGAAGUGGGGAUUUUCACGUAAGAGAAAGAAGUAGACUUUCUCCUCCGUGGGGAGAGAAGUGGGUAGGGAAGGAGAGGGAGGGUGGACAGUACCUCUACAGGAUACACAUGUAACAUGGGGGGCUGUGUUCUCAGAUUUUCUUGUUUUCUUCAGAGAUGAAAAAGGUGGGGUGCGGGGGUUGUUUUUAGGGAAAGGCAUCCAAGAGAGCAUAGGGACGCUCCCUGUCUUCCCUUUGCUGCGUCUCCUAAUUUGCUGCCCCUCGGUGAAGGUAUAGAUGACAGCACUUAUGAGGGCGAGUGACAAGCUGUCAGGUGAAAUCACGGUGCUAAAAUGAAAAUAACCCUGCUCUUUCAAUCCUGAAUCAACCCACAGAAAGAGUCAGUGUUACUUUUUCUUACGUAUACGGUGGGAGGGAAAGAGAAGGACAAGAUUAGUGACAUUACAGAGUAGUGGGUAAACCAUGUGUGUGCCAUCUUAAACAGGGUGUCUGGUUAUGAGUAUUUAACUACUUUAGAAGAAAAGCUGUUCCUUAAAGAUUCACCUUCCAAAACUCACAAAAGUGAUAACAUUACAAUUUACCGUCGUGAGUUUUUUGUUGUUGUUGUUGCCUUGUAAAAGGAAAAGCAGCUUCAGUUAGGCUCUCUCUCUAGGAGGCAGGUUAUCUAGGACCGCGAUGCUACAAAUCACUAUCUUGUUAAUUAUUCACAUAUGUUCUUGUUCAAGGCUUGAUGCGUUUGUGUCAUGAAUAUUUACAUACGGCAGUCCAUCUCAGUCAUUCCGAAUUGCUCUUAGGAUCAGCAAUAUGAGUACAUCGUCAGCUGCAAGCCAUAGAAGGCAUCUAUUAUAUGGGGGCUUUGGGGGCAUUUUUUAAUUAUUUGGUUCUAUGCCCAAGUUAAGUGGGGAUCUGGCAACAACCUGCCUUGUGAUCAAUGCAGGAAUAUGAGGCAGAUAAUUCAGGUCCCUACAGGAAAAGCUACAUAAAACAUUUUGUAAUGUGAACUCAGGCAUAUCACUCUUCCUCUCUGCCACUCGGCCUGUUCAUCUGGCAGGAGUGGAGGUUACCGGAGAUAAUCUCUAAAGGCAUCUGCUAGCUCUAAUGUUCGAUGACUUUAUAAUUGUCAUCUGGCAAUGUGAUUAUUUUACCAGUGAAUCUCAGGGACUCAAAUCAUCAAUAUUGAUCAAAGGAGGCUAAUCAGCUCAACUAAACCAAUACUGAAUGACCACUCUUGGGCUGACACUGUUCAAAAGAGUCAAUAAAUAGUUGGGUAAGUGGAUGAGUGCAUAGAUAGAUAGAUAGAUAGAUAGGUAGAUAGAUGCACAGAUAAAGAAGAUGCUUACUACAGGACCAGACAGACAAAAAUCUUGGAAAAAACAAUUAGUGUAUACAGCUGAGUGAAGUAGCUAUAAUGAGAAUAUGAAGUAAAAUCACGUGCCAGCAAAUGUCUGAGUAACUUUCCUAAAAGAUCAGAUGCCAUUUGAUUACAACAAUCAUUAUGCCAUUUGGUAUAAUGGGAAAGAGCAUUGGGCCAGAAGAUCUGAGAACGCAUCCUGACCCUGUCACCUACCAGGUUUGUGACACUGGGAAAAUUACAUAUUCUUUGAUUCUGACUCAGACUCUCAAGGACUUAUUUGAACUUUGUAGUUUGACUAUCAAGAACACUUUCUUAGUGUCAAUCUAAUAAUUAAUGAGACUGUGAAGAUACAAGUUACCUAUUCAAGUGUUUAUUGCUGUUAUUAUUAAUAAGCAGCAUGAUGUAAGAACACAGGGAAAUUAGGGCUUCAUAAGGACUGGAAGACAUCAGAGAAAGCUUGACAAAAGUCACAUUGGGCACAUUUUCAGUUCAUUCCAUGUUCUGGGGUGAAUCAGGCACGUAUUCAGGUCAACACAUACUGAGCAUUUAGCAUAUGCCAGAACCUUGCUACGUCUUAAGGAUGCGUGAAUACCAACCAAUAUGUGGUUCUUGACCUUCAGAAACUCACAAUCCUAUGGGAUUUCUAAACAUUUAAUGAAAAUAUUCUCUGUGCUAGGCACUGUUCAACAAUCAUUGUGGUAGAAAUGGAAGGCACCAUUUUUAUCUUGAAGAGAUUAUAUCCAAGCAGGAAAGGGAGACCUUGAAGCAAGCAAUUUGAACACAGUGUCAUAAGUGAAUGAUAAGGGCCUUGGGAGUUAUUGUACACAUAUGAGGGAUGCUUACUUCAUACUAAUGGGGCGGGAAGGGGGAAAUAUUUAGGUGCAGUGUGGACCAGUGCUCUCAAAAGCCAAAAUGCAUAAGAACCACCUUUGGAUCUUGUCAAAAUGCAAGUUCUGGUCCAAUAGGACCAGAGUGGGGCCUGGGAUUCUGCAUUUCUAGCAAGCUUCCUGCUGGUGCUGACGCUUCAGGUCAAUGUCCCUCACUUUGAGUAGUAUAGGUUAUAGCAGUAUUGAAUAUGUAAAAUACAAGUUAGUGGCAGGAGUUUAAAAAUAAAUUGUUUAACUACUGUGUAUAAUUUAACCUGGCUGAUCUCUGUUUCUUAGGGAAAAACCUACAUCAUCAACAAAACAAGAAAAUAACCUCUUUAUUUUUCUUUCAGUGAUUCUCAAAGGCUCUCAAGAGGCAUGCUCCCUGAGGAGGCGUAUCUAAAUCAUUAAAGGUUUUUAAAAAAUUAAACCAACCCUUUGGUGCUUCUUUUUUCUGAGAUUCACUACCACAGUGAGCCCCUUUCAAUAAUAGAUUGUUGGCAUCACGUGUCUUAUCUUAUAGACAUAUUAAAGCCACUUCUAGCCUCUAUAACCUUGUGCAGAUUUAGAGUAUCUGACAAUCUCCAUGAACUCUCUUUCCUCUAUUCCUUUGACUUUAGCAUCUCAUUAUGGAAAUAAUUUUAAAAAUUCCUCUUCCCUUCCUGCUCAAGGUGUAGGUGUGGGUGGAUGAGCUAGAUGUUGAAGGGGGUUGGUUGAAGAAUACACACCAAUCCUAAUUACAUUGAACCUAGCCAACAUCAUAGGUGGGCAAGAUUCCAGGCAGACCUGGAUACAGAUGCUGGACAUUCCACUCUUUCUAUGAUGUUAACAGAUUGCUUAAUUUCUCUGAGUCCUAAUGGUCUGUCUUUAAAAUGGAGUCAGUAGUACACAGCUUAGGAAUUGUUGUCAGAAUCAGUGAGAUGAUGGGUAAAGCAUCUGGCAUGCAAUACAUUCUCCUUCAGUAUUAGUAUUCUUUCCUUCCAUAUUGUAUUUAGAGCAAGAGAAAUUCAUAUUUAGUGUUCUCUUUCCACUACUUUUUUAGGAAGUCUUCAUCUUUACCAAAUAGAAGUUCUGGAAAAUAUCUGCCAACUCUACUCUCUUUUCCCACCAAAACUGUGUGUGUAAAGAUCAAGGUAAUAAGGAGGGUUAACUAGAUUACUUACAAUUCAAAUGUUGUCAGGGAAGGUCUCUGUGUUUCCUAGGAAUCAGAACUCCUGAUUGAGUUCCAUACUUUAUCUGUAAUGAUAUCUGUCCAUAAAAUUAGAUCAGUGUGUCCAUAGAAUAUAUCCAUGAUUGGGAGAUUCAAGAAGACCAAUAGAUAUUUAAAUUUUACAAAUUCUUCUCUAACCAUCAGAGUUGUGCUACAAUAAAACCACAGGCUAUCAUAGGAGUUAGUGGAUUUUCUAACACGGAAGGAUGAGUAGAUAAUGAGUACUGAUUAUUAAAUUCAUUAAUUCUUCAAACACCUAUUGAAUACUUUGUAGGCCAGACACUUAGUGUUAGGAGAAAAGAUUGGAAUUACACACACAGUCUCACAUAUGGCCAGAAUGGGAAAUGGAAAAGACUCACCAAGCAACAACUGGAAGCCAUCCAAACAGUAUUUGUUUUUAAUAUUUACUGAUGAUGGGAGAAACUUUCCAUACAUAAAACUUUUAUAACGUUUUAUGUUCAAACUGAGAGAUUUGUUACAUGUUCUAGAUGUGAAAUAUUCUUUUUUUUUUUUUUUAAUUUUUUUUUCAACGUUAUUUAUUUAUUUUUGGGACAGACAGAGACAGAGCAUGAACGGGGGAGGGGCAGAGAGAGAGGGAGACACAGAAUCGGAAACAGGGUCCAGGCUCCGAGCCAUCAGCCCAGAGCCCGAAGCGGGGCUCGAACUCACAGACCAUGAGAUCGUGACCUGGCUGAAGUCGGACGCUUAACCAACUGCGCCACCCAGGCGCUCCAAAAUAUUCUUGAUUAUAUGCAAUGAUUUUGGAAUUAUAAUUUUCUGAGCCAUAGAUCUUCUUAGUGGUCAUUGUAGACACUCUAAAAAGACAGGUUUUAUUUAUUAUUUAUUUAUUUAUCGAGAGUGAGUGUGUGAGCACAUAUGAGCACACACAAGUUGGGGAAGGGCACAGAGAGAGGGAGACAGAUAAUCUCAAGCAGGCUUCAUCACCAUCCUAGAACCUGACUUGGGGCUUGAUCUCACGACUGAGAUCAUGAUGGGAGGCAAAAUCAAGAGUUGGAUGCUUAACUAACUUACACAGGCACCCCAAGACACAGGUUUUAGUUAAUAGAACUAAAUUGUGUGUUAUUUGGUGUGGGGAUUAUAGCUAAUUUUGCUAACACUAGAUAAUACCCACUUGUCUGGUCUCUGGGUCAGUAGUGAGGUGGGAUUUACACACUGCCUUUAACAAAAACGUUCAACAGAGACUGAGGAUGCAAGCAGUGACUUUUGUAUUUGUUUUAAUUUUUUUCAUUUUAUUAGAGAGAGAGAGAGCAGAGGAAAGAGGCAGAGGGAGAGAGGGGGGGAUGGACAGGGGCAGAGGAAGGGAGAGAGAGAAUUCCAAGGGGCUUGAUCCUAUGACCCUGGGAUCAUGACCUGAGCCAAAAUCAAGAGUUGGGUGUUCAACUGAUUGAGCCACCCAGGCGCCCCUGGCAAGUAGUGUUUUAUACUUCCACUUGGGUGUAUCAUCUCCCUUUAAGGUAGGGGGGCCAGUUUUUGUUUUGCUUGUUAUGUAAGAAUUGGGUGAACAAAUAGAAUCCAGUGGGCACCAUAUUUCUGCUUUGCUCCAGCUUUGUUACAGUUCCUUAGAGACGACUGAUCCCAAGUAGCUGCCUGGCUGGCUGCCCCCUUCCCCAAAUUUGCCUCUUGUUCCCAAAUAGGCUAAUGACCAAAACAAGGCAGGGCAUGGAAACAAUUACAGCCUAUUGUGAUAAACGUUGUGUUGAUUAUUUCUGCUUGCCACCUAGCUGUAGUCAAGGAGAAACGAAGUGAGACCAAGGGGGAGGUCAAGUUGGUCACUGGGUUAGAUUUGAGGGGACUUCUGUCAAUAAAUGGCAAAUAUUGCAAACAUUUCAAGUAUUAAACAGGCUGUUGAUCUAUAUUAUUGUUGACUUUCUUUUCAACCAGAUUAUCUUUGAGUAUGAUUUUACAGACUGUGCCUGAAUAGCAGGAAAGCUACUGAUCAGAUUCUAAAAAGGAAGUCAUUUAUUGUUUUCUUCCAGAGAAUGUAUUGAUUUUUUUUUUAAAGGGGAGCCAUAUUUUUCCACUUGAAAUGUAAUGGCUAUUUUCUCCAGGGUGUUGUUAAAGUUGAGAAUAAGAUUCACUUAGAAUGUGUUGUCUAACAACAGCUGUAACUAGAUUACGUACAAAUGCUUCCCCUAUCCUCUAUUACCUAGUUGACUUGGCCUGUGAUGAGUACAUAGACCCAGUAUACCCAAAAUACCUAGAAAGGAGGAGAGCAUAGUCUUUGAAAUACGAUGUCUUUGUGCCAGCUCCCCUUUCAGAUCAGUCAGAAAACUUUUUCUGCGUGUUAGUAAUGUGUCUUGCAUUGGUACCGGCACCAUAGAAGAUUCUCUCAGACUCCAACUUACUCUACCUUCUCCAGUCCUUUCUCAGAACCUCCUCCUCCACAGGCACCUUAGCCAGAAAUCUAGGACACACCCUUCAGGAGCUUUCUUUCCCAGCUCCCUCUCUCUUACCUUCUGUGAUAAGGUACGUGUUGCUGAUUGGCGGACCCUAUCUGUCCACUUUUCUUGAUUAACACUGCCCUACUCUCAGGCCACCUUUGUCUCUUCCUUGGAUUGCUAAAAUGACUUUUGUUUUAAUUAUAAAAAAACUCAGGCUCAGUAGGUUAAGCGGCUGACUCUUGAUCUCGGCUCAGGUCAUGAUCUCAAGGUUAGUGAGUUUGAGCUCUGCUCCUGGCUCUGCACUGAUGGCCUGGAGCCUGCUUGGGAUUCUGUCUCUCCCUCUCGCUGCCCCUCCCCUUGCACAUGCGCACUCUCUCUGUCUCUCUCAAAAGAAAUAAACUUAAGAUAAAAUUCAAACAUACAUAAGAUUAUAGUGUAAUGUAAUUAAGAUCCAUGUACGUGAGUAACAAAUCUUAACCUUUUUAUACAUGCUUCAGACUUCAGUAAAACAAAAUAUAGAUUUAGUCAAAAUUCCAUUCAAUGUCUCUUCAUCUCCCCCCGCCCCCUUCUUCCUCCUCCUUCAGAAGCAAAAAGCCAUGUAGUUGUUGUUCAUUCUUCCAACUGAUGCUUUACAUCGUAGUUUUUAUACAUGCAUCUAUUUGUAAACAGUGUUUCAUAUUCCAUGUAUUAAAAAUAUACACAUAUAUUAUCAAUCUGUGUAACCAUUUUAUAAUAUACCAUUUGUGUUUUUCUCUAGGAUUUGUGCUGAUGCAUAUAGAGCUAAUGUUCUCAUUGUAAUAGCUAUUGUAGUCCAUUUAAAAAGCCACCAUAUGUAUGUUUCUCUAUCAAUAGACUUUUAGGGUUUUUUUUCCUUUUUUCUUUAUUUUUUGCUGGUACAGAUGAUGCUAUAGUGAAAAACUUUCUGUUCAUCCCUUUUGGUAGGUAUAUGAGAAUUUAUCUAGAUUGUGUCCCUGAAUGUGGAAUAUCUGAAUUAUCAACAUAUAUAUUUCCAGCUUGACCAAAUUGUUUUUAUCUUUUCUCUUAUUCUAUAUAUCUAUCUCUGUAUCUGUAUCUACUGAGAAAUUUAAAGAAUGGGCUCAUAACAUGGCAAAGCUGGCAGGCUGCAGAUUUAGGUGAGUUGACAUUCCAGUCUUGAGUUCAAAGGCUAGAAACUCAGGGGGAAACUCUUUGCUAUAGUCUGGAAAAUUCCUUUUUCCUUGGGAAAACUCAGCCUUUGCUCUUAAACCUUUAGUUGAUUGGAUGAUACCCACCCAAAUUAGGGAGGCUAAUCUGUUUUACUCCAGGUCUACUGAUUUAAACAUUAAUUACAUCUAGAAAAAUACCUUCACUGGCAACAUCUAGACUCCUGUUUAACCUGAUUAACCAAAUGACUGAGCACCAUAAUCUAGCCAAGUUAAGACAUAAAAUUAACCAUCACAAUAUUCUUUGCUGUUUGUUUUCUGUUUGUUUUUCCUUUCAUUAAAAAAAUAUACAACUAUUUAUUUUAAAAGAAAAUUGAGUUCCUUGUAGGAUGAGUUUACAACAGAAUUCUUUUUGUUAAAGCCAAGAACCAUGUUUGAAUUUGACUUUUCUAAGAAAAACAAUACUUGAAACUUUAUAAUCUCUUAUUUAUUAACAAACAAUUUAUCCUAAUUUAUUGAAAAAGUGAGCAUGUUUGUUCUUUUCUAAUGGGCUUAAGGCAUUCUUUAAAUAUUUUGGAUACCAAUCCUUUAUUUGUUUUAUAGAUUUCAAUUAAUGCCUCUCAGUGUUUGGCUUGUGUUAACAUUUGUUUUUGGUGAUUUCUCAUUCAAAAUUUAAAAAUUUUGAUAUAUCAAGUUUAUCAGUGUUUUCUAAGUUUUACGUUUUAUAUUUUGUUCAGAAAAUCCUUUCAUCUCUUAAUUUCAUAUAGGAAUUAUCCUAUGUUUUCUCAUAAACAUUUUUUAAAAAUAUACUUUUCACAUUUGGGACUUUAAUUCACUUCGAUUUUAUUUUUUGUAUAUGUGUGAAAUCAAGAUAAGAUAUAUAUAGUUUGGUUUUUACUCAUUCUAUGAGGCCAGCAUUACCUUGAUUCCAAAACCAGACAAAGACCCCACUAAAAAGAAGAAUUACAGACUAAUAUCCUUGAUGAACAUGGAUGCAAAAAUUCUCAACAAGAUACUAGCAAAUCGAAUCCAGCAUUACAUUAAAAAUCCUUCCUUUCUUAGAAUAGUUUUAGAAUUGCAGAAAUUGCUAAUGUAGUUACGGAGAGUUUCUGUAUAUCUUGUACCCAGUUUCCUCUGUUAACAUCUUGUUUAGUGUGGCACGUUUGUUAUGAUUAAAGAACCAACAUUGACACAUUAUUAUUUAACCCAAAUCCAUACUUAUUUAGUUUCCUUAGUUCUCACCUAAUGUCCUUUGUUUACAAGUUGUUAUAAAGCAGUUGUUUUUCAAGUAUUUUCUCCCAGUCGAUGGCUUGUCUUUUCCCAUUUUUCCUUCCUCACCUCUUUGUCUUUACACCGUGUUGUCCCUCUGUCUAGAAUGGGUCUUAGUUUGGGCUGCUAUAACAAUACCAUACAGCCAGUGGCUUAACCAACAAACGUUUAUUUCUCAUGGUUCUGAAGGCUGGAAGUCUCAUCAUCCGGAUGUCAGCAUGGUUGGGUUUUUGGUGGAGGGCCCUCUUCCUAGUUUACAAAGGGCCACUUUCUUGCUGUGUCCUCCCUGGUGGAAGGAGGGAGAGCGAGAGGGAGACAGGGAGAGAGGCAGGAAACAAGCUGUGAGUAGUCAAAGAGCUCUAAUUCCAUUAUGAGGACUCCUCCCUCUCAGAAGCCCCGCCCCUAAUGCCAUCACAUUGAGGGUUAGGAUUUCAACAUAUGAAUGUUGAGGGGACCCAAACAUGCAGUCUAUGACAAAUGGCUUUGCCUCACUGAUUUCUCACCUGACAGCACGGGAUUUGUAUGUAGAUAUUGCCUUUCCAUAAAGCCUUUCCAGGCCUCCCAAGAUCAUAAUAUAUGUUUCCCCUCCUUCCUGCUACUGUGAUUAUUCCUACUGAAGUACCUCUAUUAUCAUGUAUUUACUUCUCUUCUUCCGCACUUGAUCUUUAUUUAGGUCUUUGGAGGUGAGGACUGUACCUUGUUCUCCUUGUAGCUCUGGUGUUUAGUAUAGUGCUCAUCAGAUGUUGGUUAAAUGAGUUGUUAUGUGCACCGUCUUGCUCUGAGAAGACAAACAAUUCAUUUGGACCAAAGAACAACUGAACUUGAGCUUAUCUGAUACUGAUUACUUAGGCAAAGGCAUUUAGAAGAGGCUGAAAUGAAGUCUGAGGUUAGUGUCAGCAGGGAUAUGAGGAAGGUGAACUUGAAUGAGGGAUUUGGGCCAAUUUAUGUGAGCAAAAUAACCAGGAACCUGGCUUAGAACAGCAACUUGAAAAUAGAAAGGAAGUGAGAAAUCGAGCAGCGUUUUACAAUGAGAAACAGCUGGACGGGUGACAGAUUAGUUUCAGUGGAAAAGGGAAAAAAUAAAGGUAAUAAUGCGAGUAUUAUCUUGUGUUUGCCAAAACGCUCUCAAACCUAAACGCCUCACAUUUCUGCUGGGAACAUAAACUGCUACCAACUUUCUACAAAAUACUUGGGUAUUAUAUCUCAAAAGCCUUCACAUUCUAACACCAUUUGACUAUUUCUAUUUCUAGGAAUGUAUCCCAAGGAAAUAAUCAGAAAUGUGAAUAAAUAUUUAUGAGUAAAUAUGUGCAUUAUUUAUGAGAGCAAGAAACCGGAAACCACCUAGAAAUCCAGUGCUAUGAAAAUGAUUAUGUAAAUCAUGAUAUAUAUUCAUGUGAAGGAAUUAGAUGCAAUCACUAACAAUUAUAUUUAUAAUGCUUGUUAAUGAUAAUGAAAAUACUUACGAUAUAGCAUUAAGUAAGGGAGGUAGAUUGUAAAAUUAUAUUAUCUCAAUUUUGUAGAGAAAAAUGUUUAGUUCAAUGCUGAAAGAAAACAUAUCUAAAAUAUUAAUGAUGGUUGCUUCUGGGUAAAGCGAAGAGGUGAUUUUCUUCCUGCUUCACUGAAUGUGUCUGUAACUUCUCAAUUUUUUUCUUUUUUACCUUAAGUAUUAGUUUGAUAAUCCAGAGGGGAUUUUAAAAUCAUUUUUAAUCGUGUAUUUUGGAAGGAGAGGCAGUUUUACACUUGAAUCCAAAUGCCCCCUCCUCCAUAAAUCUUACGCCCUCUAAGUUAAAAAUAGUAACCCCCUCAUCUUGUACUUUUACUCAUUUAUUAGUUUGUCCAUUCAGCACUCUGCAUUUUAUCUACCUAUUUUAUUUAUUUAUUUAUUUAUUUAUUUAUUUAUUUAUUUAUUUAAAGUGUUUAUUUUAUUUAUUUAUUUCGAGUCCAUGCCGGGCUCAAACCCACAAACUGUGAGAUCAUGACCUGAGCUGAAAUCAAGAGUCAGAUGCUUAAUCAACUGAGACACCCAUGUGCCCCAGCACUCUGCAUUUUAUACUCAAUACAAGGCAACAUAACAUUCGGGCAUAUUCUCUGCUCUAAGAGAGUUCUCAGUUUAUGGCACAGGUAAGCAUAUAAUUAAGCAUGAAAAAAAAAAAAAAACGUAAACAAGCAUAACACCCAAUGGAUAUAUUUACAUAGUGGGCUUGGGACCGCAGAGAAAGGGGUGACUAAUUUUACUUUCCUGAGGAGAUAGCAUUUGAGUUGGCUUGUAAACCAUUUCAGUGGUAUUCACUAGUUGAAGAUCAAGCCACAGGAAGGGAGGGAUUUAUAGUCAAAGGUAACAGGAAGUGCAAAGUUACAGUGAGCUUCUGUGUCAAUGGAAGAUUAUGACUGGGAGAAAUUAGUCUGAUCAGAUUGAGGUGGGUGAUUUAUGGACCUGUUGCCAUAAAGAGGUGCUUGGGCUCUAAGUCGUGUGGUGUGUUAGGCAACCACUGAAGGUUGAGAUUCGUAAGGAAUUGACAUGACCACUUUCUUACUGUUUCUUGUCUGUUUCCUCCUCAGCAUUAUCCAUGGUCUGUCAUGCAACUUUUGACACCCUUGGUGCUCAAUAGAUGUUGGUAGCAGAAGCAGAUUCUGACUUGGGUGAUGGUGACGAUUGAGAGGAGCAGAGAUUUGUUGUAGAUAUUUGGGGAUUAGAAACUGAAAUGUAGAUGAUAAUUUAGGGCAGAGUUUCUCAACAUUUUUUCAUUAUUGGCCCCUAAGGAGUCUUUUGAGCACUUUUUUUUUUUUUUUUUUUUUUUUUUUUUUCAACGUUUAUUUAUUUUUGGGACAGAGAGAGACAGAGCAUGAACGGGGGAGGGGCAGAGAGAGAGGGAGAUACAGAAUCGGAAACAGGCUCCAGGCUCUGAGCCAUCAGCCCAGAGCCCGACGCGGGGCUCGAACUCACGGACUGCGAGAUCGUGACCUGGCUGAAGUCGGACGCUUAACCGACUGCGCCACCCAGGCGCCCCGAGCACUUUUUACUUAUAAUCAUCCCCACAGAAUUUUAAAACUGUAGAUAUUCUGUAUAUUUGUGUAUGAACUUUAUGCUUAUCUAUGCUUUAUACAUAAAAUGAUAAGUUUUUUUUUUUCCAUCUCUUUUCCUUAAGUCCAUGUUUUUGUCUUCUUGGUGGUGACAUCCUUUCCAUUGAGAGGAUAUGAGUUACAGCCUUUAAACAACACUUUUAACUAUAGUAAAAUACAUGUAACUUAACAUUUACCAUCUUAACCAUUUAAAAAAAAUUUUAAUGCUUAUUUAUUUUUAAGAGAGAGAGAGACAGUGUGAGUGGGAGGAGGGCAGAGAGAGAGAGGAUCCAAAGCAGUGGUUAAUACCAUUUUCUAUUUCCACAACAAUGAACAAAGAUCCCACAAUCUUGUCAACACUUGUUAUUUUCUGUUUUUUUGAUAGUAGCCAUCUUACUGAGUGUGAAAUGAUAUCUCAUCGUGGUUUUGAUUUGCAUUUUUUAAUUACUCUUUCAUAUACAUGUUGGCCAUUGCAUAUCUUCUUUGGAAAAAUGUCUAUUCAAGUCCUUUGCCAAUUUUUUAAUCAGGUUAUUGUGUUGUUGUUGAGUUGUAGGAAUUUUUUAUAUAUUCUAUAUUCUAUAUAUUCUAUAUUUUAUAUAUUCUAACCCCUUAUCAAAUAUAUAAUUUGCAAAUAUUUUUUCCCAUUCCUUGGGUUACUUUUUCACUUAGUUGAUUGUGUCCUUUGAUAAGGGUAGCCUUGUAAAAUUCAGUUGAUGUUGAGAUUUUUCGUGGCCUUAAGCGUUCUUUUCCUCUAUCUUCUUCCUCUGGUAACUAGGAGAUUGGAAUCUGGAUGGUGGUAUCCUGGGCUUGGGCAAAUAUUGAGAUCCAGCCUGAUGGCUAGGAUUUGGGCCAGGAUUGCAGGGCAAAGUCCUAGAUAUGGGAUCUAAUGGAUUUCUGUAUCAUUCAGGGAAAGGUGAAUAAUGUUGUGUCAUUCAACCCAAGUAGAGCAUGACAGGAAGGGUGAAUCACACCAUCAAAAAGAGGGAGUUCAAAACACAAAAAGAGAAAGUGGCAUCAGAAGAUUAAGAGCAGAAGCCUAAACUCAGAGCAGACAUUUGCCUCUAAAUAUUACUUUUUUCAUUUCAUCCAUUAAAUGUCAUGGGCUGUUAACUGUUAGUAUGAGGGUGUUUUCACCUCGUCUACGUAAUCAAGUUGUCAACUUAUGUAGCUCAUUGGUGUUUUCUAGAUGGAUAUCUAGGCAACUUACUUGCAGUUUCCUUUCCAUCUAGAGAUUUGGUCAGGACCAACUUUGGGAGGUGUGGCUCUGAUAGAUACAGCUCCAGUCAAGACCAGCCAGAAACUUAAUACCUUGCAGGAAGUGAGGAGGUCUUGACUUCACUCUCAAUUUAUAUAUCAACCCAUCACCUUGCAUAAAGAUUAAACUUCUUGCAAUAGGAGGGUGGAAACAUCUCUGUGAUUCCUUUGGGAGAGAGGUAAUGCAUUUAAAAAUCUCUCUGAUGCCAUGACCAUAAGAUUAAUGCUGUAAUCCAGUUUGUUAUCUGUCUGCUACGUCUCCUUGUGUCUAGCGUAAGUCAAUAGAACUUCACUUCUCUAAUUGAAAUCAGUGUGCUGAUGGAGUCUGUUCGUGGAAAUGAAAGGUGGCUGCCAUAAUCUGUUGGGAGCUGAAUUAAUCCUCUGGGAGUGAGGCCUAUCUAAUUACUCCACUCAGAAAUACUGGAUUUGCUUUCAGUUCUGCAGUAUACAGCCAUGGGAAAGAGGCCAACGCACCAUUUGGCUAAUUUUGUCUUAAAUUGCUUUAAGCUCCCCUAACCUGUCAUUGUGAGACCUUCGCAUUGGAAAGCGCUAUUUCUUCUGCUUUUCACCUUUUUAUUUGUAAGUAUUGCUAAAUUAAAUGAAAAGGCAAAUUUUUCGGUCACGUACUAAACUAUUUCUGCCCUGUAUUUAUCACUCUCUGAUAUAAAGUCAUGCCUUUGAUGCCCAGAAGUAACAUUGCUCACAGAUUAUUGGGAGAAACAUAAAGUUUAAAUCCUCUCAGAGAUGACCUAUUUUCACCCAAUUAUUGCACCAACAACUUGGUGAGUACAUAUCACGACUCAGGUAUUGUCCUAAGCAUUUUGUAAAUAUGUUUUCAUUUGAUACUCACAAAAAUCUUUUGAAGUGGAUGCUAUUGAUAUUUUCUCAAUGUGUAUACAUAUAUUAUAAAGAAGCCUUGAAAAUUUAAGGUUCUGCCCAAUGGCACACAGCAAAUAAGCUUCACAGCAAUAAUGGAAACCGAAGCAGUCCAACUCCAGAAUUUGGUUGGCACAUAAGAUACAGGACAUUCAGAUAGAUUUGGAUUUUAGAUAAGCAAUGGAAAAAAACAUGUAGUAUACAUAUAUCCCGAAUAUUUCAGGGGACAUGCAAAUACUAAAACAUUGUUUGUUGUUUAUCUGAAACUCAAUACAGAGUGUACCACGUGGUUUGUUGUGUUUCUUUUGUUUGGCUAAAGCUGGCAGCCCUAUUUAAGAUCCUAUGUCCCUAGUUAUCUGGAACAUUAGUGAGCUUGGGAAUGGUGGUGUGAAUGUUCGUAAUUCGACAAAUAUAGUAUUUACAUAUUCAUACCUAUAGAUACAUUUAUUGCUUUUUGAAGUCCUUUGAAGUGUGAAAUGUCUUGCUGAAAUAUUUUAGUGAUGCUGAUGACAUCACAACUGUCAUAGAGAAUCCGACACAGACUAUUGUUUAAUAAAGACUUUGGCUCCGUCGAUUGUUUUUUUUUUCUUUCUGUUCAUAUGCCUCACCUUCAGUGAUUAAGACAUCUGCAUUCUGAUCCCAGCUGGGCCAUUAGAAUUUUUGAGACCUCAGGCAAGCUUCUUCCUGCAUCUUAAUUCUAUCCUCCAUUAAGUACAAAGUGGAAUAAGGUGUUUCUCUCCUAAUGUUUCUUUUGUCCUUGAUAUUCUGUGGUUCCAGAACUUGAGAAAGAUACCUCAUGACAGAUUUUUGUACUUGGUAUUGUGGUGGCAUUCCAGGAUCUUGGUUUAAUUCAUGGGGGGGGGGGGGUGUCAAUUCUUUAAUUACACAGGAAGUCCUAAGUUGGCUGCUUACAAGUUUGUCCAUUUAGUCCUUCAUGCAGAUGUAAGAAUGGCAUCUGAUAAUUCUGUUGUCUCUCCUAUAGAAUUCAGCACAAUUCUAGGCAAUGCAAUGUGAAUACAUUCUUUCCAAUUAAUGGAUUGAUUGAUUUCUUAAUGGACCAUGGUGCCAGUCAGGUGCCUGUAUGCAGGUGCCUGUAUAGUCUGCCCCAAACCACUUUUUUUUCCUCCAUGCUCUUUAUUGUCACUCAACAUAUUGUUCCAGUCACGUAAAAUGGCUUUCUAUUACCUAAAUAUGUUGUGCAGUUUUUUUGCCCUUGUCCUGACACCGCUGAGCCUUAGUUUCCAUAUGAGACUGCAAUCUCCAUUUUAUAUGGUAGUUGCUAUAAAAAUCAAGAAAAUAUAGAAGCACCUGACAAGCUAGUUCACCUAAUUAAUUACUUUGUCUUCCUCCAUGUAAGGGGAAACCUAAUUCAGAGAGUGUUGUAACAUUGGAACAUUGGAAACCUAAUUCAGAGUGUGUUGUAACAUUGGACAGUUUCCCUCAAUGCUGUGUCAGCUUGUAGUCACAGACCCAGGAUGGCACUAACCACUUAAGAGGUGUUCAUUGUAAGUUGAAUAUGUGGUGGAGAAAGUAAUCAUCACUACACUUAGGAAACCUAUACUAUUUCAAGUUAUAUUACAAGGCUGUAGUGAUCAAGACAGUAUGGUAUUGACAUAAAAACAGACACCUAGAUCAAUAGAACAGAAUAGAAAACCCAGAAAUAGAUCUACAACUAUAUGGUCAACUCAUCUUCAACAGAGCGGGAAAGAUCCAAUGGAAAAAAGAUAGUGUCUUCAACGAAUUGUGUUGGGAAAACUGGACAAAAACAUACAGAAAAAUGCAACUGGACCACUUUCUUACACUGUACACAAAAACACAUUCAAAAUGGAUGAAAGACCUAAAUGUCAGACAGGAAAUCAUCAAAAUCCUAGAGGAGAAAACAGGAAGCAACCUCUUUGACCUCACCCACAGCAACUUCUUACUAGAUAAGUCUUCAGAGUCAAGGGAAACAAAAGCAAAAAUAAACCAUUGGGACUUCAUCAAGAUAAAAACUUCUUCACAGCAAAGGAAACAAUCAACAAAACUAAAAGAAAGCCUAUGGAAUGGGAGAAGAUAUUUGCAAAUGACAUACCUGAUAAAGGGUUAGUAUCCAAAAUCUAUAAAGAACGUAUCAAACUCAACACCCAAAAAACCAAAUCAUCCAGUGAAAAAAUGACCAGGAGACACGAAUAGAUAUUUUUCUAAAGAAGAUAGAUAUUUUUCUAAAGAAUAUAAAGAAGAUAUCCGGAUAAUAGACAUAUGGAAGGAUGUUCAACAUCACUCAUCAGGGAAAUACAAAUCAAAACUACAAUGAGAAACCACCUCACACCAGUCAGAAUUGCUAAAAUUAAUAAUAUAGGAAACAACAGAUGUUGGUGAGGAUGGGGAGAAAGGGAACCCACUUACAUUGUUGGUGGGAAUGCAAACUGGUGCAACCACUCUGGAAAACAGUAUGGAAGUUUCUCAAAAAAUUAAAAAUAGGACAACCCUACAAUCUAGCAAUCACACUAUGGGAUAUUUACCCAAAGAAUACAAAAACACUAAUCUGAAGAGAUACAUGCACCCCAAUGUUUAUAGCAGCACUGUUGACAAUAGCCGAACUAUGAAGAGAACCCAAAUGUCCAUCAAAUGAUGAGUGGAUAAAGAGGAGGUGGUGUGUAUACAUAUAUGUAUACACACACACACACACACACUGGAAUGUUGAUCAGCUUUAAAAAAGAAAUCUUGCCAUUUGCAAUGAUGUGGAGCUAGAGAGUAUUAUGGUGCAUGAAAUAAGUCAGAGAAAGACAAAUACCAUAUGAUUUCACUCAUGUGGAGUUUAAGAAACAAAACACAUGAAUAUAUGGGGGAAAAGAAGCAAACCAAGAAAUAGACUCUUAACUACUGAGAACAAAGUGAUGGUUACUGGAAGGGAGGUCAGUGGGGAGACGGGUUAAAUAGGUGGUGGGGAUUAAGGAGGGCACUUGUGAUGAACCCUGCGUGUUGUAUGUAAGUGAUGAAUCAUUAAGUCCUACACUUAGAACUAAUAUUUUAUGUUAACCAACUGGAAUAUAAAUAAACGCUUGGGAAAAAAAAGAAAAGAGGGAAAAAAACAUACAAUGAGUUGUUAGAUAUGGCCUUUUUCUUCACUUUGGCUUCUUUGGUGAACAAGGAUUGGAGACAUGGUUUUAAUGCUGCCUUUGGGAAAAUAGAAGUAAGACUUGUUAUACGAUUAUGCAGGCAGCAGGAUUUGUUUCAGUUUGAGGGCUGAGCUAGAAACAGUCAUCGGCAUCUCCGUGUCCAUGGUGCUGCUGAGGCCAACAGUCUUCAGGAACAUCUCUGGGUCAAAGUCAUGGCUGGCCUGCAGUUCCAGACUCUCUCUACUGCCCUGCCUAAUCUUGCCUCCGUGCUGAUGCUCUUAAUCCUCUCUUUAGCAACAAGAGAACUAUAAUUAUCUCAGGGUCUCUCUCUCUCACUAGACGGUGCUUCAAGAGGGCAAGACUUUUGUGUUAGUAAUCUUUGUACUCCUAGGCCUAGAAGGCAUAGUGAUUACAUUAUAGGUGAUCGAUUAGUGGUUUCUAAUUGAAUGAAAGAAUGGAGGGAAGGAAAGUGACUUAUUAGGUGAAGUCUCAUGGUGACAGUUUAAAGAAUAUAGGCAGGCAAAAAGAGUAGAAGGAAAUUAAGAAAGACACACUGUACUCAGCUCCACAAGAGAAAGCAGGAACCGUUGGUUCCAAAUUGCCAAUUUUCUGAACUCACAAAAGCCAGGAAGGCAAAGCAGAAUUAAGUGUUAGCCACGUACUUCCAUGGAGGAAUCUGGGAACCAGCUAGAGCAGCCUUGUCUAAUAGUCACCUAGUGAGAGCCAUAUGUGUAAUUUUGAAUUUUCUAGUAGCCACAUUAAAAUGAUAAAAAGAAACAGAUGAAAUUAAUUUUAAUUAUAUAUUUUGCUUAAUGCAAAUAUAUCCAAAUGUUUAUCAUUUCAACAUGCAAUCACUAUGAAAAAUAUUAAGGAGAUAUUUUAAUUCUUGGUUCCUCUAGUGAGUCUUCAAAAUCUGGCCCGUAUUUUACACUUAACAGCACAUCUCAAUUUGGACCAGCCACAUUUCAAAUGCACAGCAGCCAGAUGUGGCUAGUGGCUAUGCCAGUGAACAGCUCAGAGCUACAGCAUUUGGGUAUUUCUAAAAACAUGAAAUAAAAUAUUUUUUCUUUGUACUAAAUUAUCAUUUGCCUGGUAAUUUUCACUGCAUAGGCAGGAGAAAUCAAUCUUAAAUAGAGAGUUUAAUUGCAUCGAGCUGGUUUAUUUAUGCAAUCCAACGUCUUUACAGCCACUUCUGAAAUAUGUAUAAAUUUGUAAGCCCUUCCUAAAAAGUUCCUAGGAGCUUUAAGAAUGUUUAGACCUACCGUUUGACCUAAGAAAUCCUACUUCCCGCACUCAACCAUCAGGAAACAUUUAGAAACGCGGUCUGAGAUUUAGGCAUGAAAACUUUCAGUGUCUUUUUUUGUUACACAAUUUAAUAACUGGAAGUCAUCAAAGUCCAAUGUUAUUGGAGCAUGAGUUAUGGUACCUGUUUGUAAUGAAAUAUUGUGUUGUCACUAAAAUUUAUGCUCAGGGAAAUUUUUGAUGGUGUGGGAAACUGUGAUAUAAAAUUAAGCGAAAAGCAUAGGAAACAGAUUUGUAUUUUCAGUAUUGAGCAACUUAUAUGAAAGGUACAGCGAAAGCCUGGAAGGAAAUACGGUAAAGUGGUAACAGUACCUCAGAACCGUGGAAUAGUAAGUGACUGCUUUUUUCCUUCUAUUUUGAUGCAUUUUGUAAUUUUUCUCACAAAGCGUGUACACCAGGCCCCUAAGCAGGCAAACAAACAUGGAAAAUACUUUGCCUAGUUCAUGUUCCCACCACUACCAUAGCUCUAGUGGGAAACCCUUGCCCUCACCUUCCCUUCCCUCCACAUACACAGAGUCUCCCUCUUGGGAAAGAAUGGAGAGAGCAAUGGCAUGAGACAGCCAAACCCCAAGGCAGCUAGAGGAUGGGACAGCUGACUGGCAGAGAAGACCAGGAGACCAGCCAUCUUGUUUUGGAUUUCUGAUGCUGACUGUGACAAUCCCAUCAUCCCCUUGGGUCCCCAUUCCUUAUCUGUAAAAGGCAAGGAAGAUCAUUAGGAUGAGUUCCCUACAGCUUCUUCAGACUCUCUCUGAUGAACCCUCUGGCCAAAAACUUAAGUUUAGCCUUUUUUUUUUUUUUUUUUUUGCCCCUGCCCACAACACAUCUUUUCAGUUCCAGUUUUUCUGAUUUUAAGUGUUUCUUUUACAAAUGGCUUCCAGCUAUAUGAUUGACCUCUCCUCCCCCCCCCCCCCCCCCCCCCCCACCCCCAUGCCUAAAUCUUCCUACUACGAAAUCCCCAGAGUGUCCCCAAAUGCCAGACCCUUGGUUCAGGUAGCCUCUCUUGUUUAACAUACAUUUUAAAGACCACUUGUCUCCUAGGGCAGUAGCAGGAAAGAGAAUCUUAGAUCCAUUUUAGAAACUGUGUCAAAUGAUGAGAUUACUUUGACACAUGAACAGCCCUCUUUUGAAGAUAGUAGGUUUGAAAGCAGAAAAUCUCUCCUGGUAUCUCCUCUCCAUGAGUCACCAUUUGGUACCAGUGUGGAAGGUAACAAUGUUGAUGAAUAGUGGCCUGUAGAUACCCUGGCAAUCUUUACAACACGACCCCCCACCUAAAGGCUUUACAAAAGUACUAUCUGUAAAAAUAACUCCAGAAUGGAACCUUGUCUGAUUCUGCAUCGUGCAUCAUUCCAAAAUGCCUCUGUGGAGAGACAGGUUUUACCUUUACCUUAUAGGCUUAAUGUCUAGAUCUUCUCUCUGAAAAUUAAAUUCGAACCCAAUGAUUUGAGCAACUAGUUCCCAAGAUCCUUAGAGCCUUAUUGUAGCUCUGUUACUUAAUCUGGUACUGAGUAUGUCCUAUGUCUAUUGCCCAGAUCAGUUCUUAGCUUACUGAAUGAUGGAACUGGUCUCUCCUAAAACUUGUGGGCUGUAAGGUUGUCACAUAUCUACGCCACUACAGUAUUGUCAUCUUCCUGAGGUUUUGCUCACUGUAUUUGUUUUAUUAUUCAUUUGUUCACAUUCGUUCCUUCACCAAAUAUUUUGGAGGUAUGGGGCCAGGCACAGCUUCUAGACACCUGCCAAUCAGCAGCCAACUACAGAGGAACCUUUGGGCUUAGAACAUUUAGAUUUAAAGUCGAGUUCUGCCUCUUACCAGUUGCAUGAACUUGAGCCAACUCCCUUCUCCAUAAAAUGGGGAUAACACUAUCUGUGUUACAGGGCUAUUACGAGUGUCCGAUGACAUAACUUGUGUAAAUCACUAACAGUUCCAACGAUGAACUUAACCUUGUUAUUUUUUAAAGUAGCUAUAGUUAAGGUAUGUAGAGACCAAUUUUCACAAAGAUUACAUCUCGUAAUGCUUGCACCUCCAUGGUAAGAAGAUGUAUUAUUUCUAGUUUUUGCACCUGAAGAAUUGCCUGAAUGAUCUGGGGGCAGAAAUUUUGGAGCAUGGGAACCAGCAGAACAUUGAUGUCAUGAAAUAUACUCUCGAUUCAGUGGUAUGUGUAGCUCUCCAUGAGGUGUGCAUGGGAUAAUGUGCGCAGAGGCCUUUUGUAAAGUGAAAUUUCAGAAGCAGUAGUGCUCUGAAUAUGGCCUGGCAUGGGAGGAAGCUAACAUGGGAGCUUCUUUGUGCUGUAGCCUUCAUCGUCACUGCCACAAUCCUUGACCACACAUGAGGAAACUUUAAGCUCUGAUGUUUAUUUGUACGAGAUUCCCCAGCUCCCAAGUGCCAGAGCUGGGCUUUAAAUUCAGGUUUGUGUGGCUGAGAAACUCAUUGUUUCUUUCUUUCUUUCUUUCUUUCUUUCUUUCUUUCUUUCUUUCUUUCUUUCUUUCUUUCUUUCUCGAUCCUAAAGGUUUUAUUUAUUUAUUUAUUAAAUAUAAUUAUCGUCAAAUUGGUUUCCAUACAACACCCAAGGCUCAUCCCAGCAGGUGCCCUCCUGAAUGCCCAUCACCCAUUUGCCCCUCUCCCUCUCCCAUCAACCCUCAGUUUGUUCUCAGUAUUUAAGAAUCUUUUAUGGUUUGCUUCCCUCUCUCUCUGUAAUUUUUUCGCCCCUUCCGCUCCCCCAUGGUCUUCUAAGUUUCUCAAGAUCCACCUAUGAGUGAAAACCAAAAGAAACUCAUAGUUUCAUGCUAGAGCAGAAAAUCUGAAAUUGCCAGUCAUGGAUAUUAUAAUAAAUGCAGGUAGCAUCCACCAAGCACUUACUAUCUGCCAGGAACUUUGUAACUCUGUUUCCAUGGUAACUCUUUGACUCCUCCUCCAACUCCACGAGCUGUGUAAGAUUCUGUCUCUCAUGUUACAGAUGAGGACACCGAGGUGAAAAACAUUAGUGUACUACUUGCCCUACCUCACCGAACUAAGAAUUGAUGGUGAUUGGAUUCAACCGGGCAGCCUGGCUUGGGGAUCCCCCAACUUAACCUUAAUAGAAUAUUCUUGGAAGUAAAACCUCAAAUAGGGGGUUAGAACUUACGACCUUCAUAACCCAGAAGUAGGUCCUAAUUUACAGAAUUUAUAAUUUGAAAUGUAAUGGUUUUGGUUUUGGUUUUACAUUUUUUCAUAUUUAGUCAGGAGUGAGAAUAGGAAAGUGUGCAUUUCCAGGACAAUAGGUAAAACACAACAACUGUGAGACGAUGGCUUUGAUUUGAGUACUCAUGUUCUAAUCAGCCUUUGUCUUCAUCUGAUGGUUACAUUUUCUGAGGAAAAAAAUUGUGAUGGUUUCUGGCUGCUUCCUGCAUGGCUGUGCAUUUAGAAGAUCUAAAAUAUAUCUAUUUAUCUCCAUCUGAUGGUGGUCUUGGUCAGGGAGCUGUGGGCAAUUCAUCUUGUUGAUAUCUGUUCCUAAUUUCACCUGUUCAGGUCACUACCUCACUUCUUAAAAUUCCCCUUGUGUUUUUUCUUUCAUUUUGAUGUAUCGUACUUGGUGAAAGGCAGUUUGAGAGAGAGAGAGAGAGGAGAACCAUAGAUUUGUGAAUUUUUGGAUGGGUGUGUGUGUAAGGUUGUCAUGUUCGAUUGUAUAAGUUGAGUACUGCACAACUGUAGAAGACACAAUUUGCAUUGUCUAUGAUGUAAAUGAUAGUCCUUGCAGCUGAACAAUGUAUGUUCAAGUACCUGUAUGAAUAUUGGUGUGUGUGUGAGUGCGUGUGGUUAAAGUGCAUUCAUGUCUGAACAUAUCUGUGUAUGAAUAUAUGGCUAAUGUGCCUAAAAGUUCACAAUUGUGCAUGCAUGAAUUUGUGUGUGUGUCUGUCUGAGCAUGAGUUUUGAUGGUAGAAUGGGAGAUAUGGGGCAGGAGAGACUGAAUAUCUUUUUUUAAUGUUUCCUUAUUUUUGAGAAAGAGAGCGUGCAAACGGGGAGGGGCAGAGGUAAGGGGACAGAGGACCUGAAGCAGCCUCAAUGCUGGUAGCAGAGAGCCCAAUGUGGGGCUCAAACUCACGAACUAUGAGAUCAUGACCUGAGCCAAAGUUGGACACUUAACCAGCCGAGACACCCAGGUGCCCCAAGACUGAAUAUCUUAAUUUCCAUAAGACAUAUGAGAUCACAGUCACAUAUUUCUUUUUCAAAAGUGAAGAAACAUUUUUUUAAAUUUUAUUAUUUUUUUAAUAUAACUUAUUGUCAAAUUGGUUUCCAUACAACACCCAGUGCUCAUCCCAACAAGUGCCCUCCUCCCUGCCCAUCACCCACAAGAGACAGGUUUUUUUUUUUUUUAAUUUUUUUAAUGUUUAUUUAUUUUGAGAGAGAGAACAUGAGCAGGGGAGGGGCAGAGAGAGGGAGACACAGAAUCUGACGCAGGCUCCAGGCUCUCAGCUGUCAGCGCAGAGCCCCAGGUGGGGCUUGAACUCAUGAACUGUGAGAUCAUGAUCUGAGCCCAAGUCAGACGCUCAACCGACUAAGCCACACAGGUGUCCCCAAAGUGAAGAAACAUUUAAGCAUGAUGUAGAAUAGGCAGCAUUGACAAAGUGCCGCAUCAGAGUCCUUGGUAAUUAUCCAAAGUUCCUCCAAGUUUGUCUUUUUUUUUUUUUUGUCAAGGAAUGCCCCUCCUUUUAACCUAAAUAGCAUUUUUUAAUGUUCUCCAGUUUGGAAAAAUAUGUAAUAGGAGCUGAAGUUCUGACCUUUACUUUUAGCUUCUUGAACUUUUUCUUAGUCAUACCUGUCUUUCUCACCUGUAAAAUUAUAUAUAUAUACACACACAUAUAUAUAUAUAUACAUACACACAUAUAUAUAUAUGUGUGUAUGUAUAUAUAUCCAAACACAUGUGUAUGUGCAAGUGUGUGUGUGUAUGUAUGUAUGUGUGUGUGUAUAUAUAUAUAUAUAUGUAUAUAUAUAUAUAUAUAUAUUCUCAUAUAUGAGAGAAUGCUGUAAAAUGAAAUAAUGAAAUUUGAUGGAAAGAUAUUCUUAUGACCAGUGAAACAGAUAUAUAAUAGUACAUUUCUGCUUCUCUUCUGUAUUAAUGUAUUAUUCAUUCUUCAGCAAACAUUGUGCAGUAGAUGUUGGGAUACCUGUACUCUCCUCAAAGUACUUACAAACUACAGGGGGAGACACACAUGCAUAAACAGAUGUUUAAAAAAAUGGAUGGCAAGGCCAACUUAUGACUUGAAUACACUCCCAUUCUAAUUAGGAGAAGAGGCUAAUAAAGCAUGGAAAUUUCAACAGGUUAAGCACUGCUCAUGGCACGUUUGUGGGGAACAACCAAUUCCAUUUGGGUUUGAGGGUCCAGAAUUCUUUAUGGAAAAGAUAGCUUUCUGUUUUAUUGUAUUUUGUUUCUUUGAGGUAUAAUUUAGGGCUCAUGAGGUUUACCCACUGUAAGUGUAUAAUUCAGUAUUUUGUAAAUUUCUCAACCAGUACAACCAUGAGUACAAUCCAGUUUUAGAAUAUUUCCACUCCCCCCAAAAGUUCCUGGGUCCCCUGUAGGCAAUCUUUAGUCCAGAUCCAAAUCAUACACAUAUCUUCUUUCUGUCUCUACAGAUUUGGACUUUAUGGGCAUUUCAUAUCAAUGGAAUUAUACAACACACUCUUUUUUGCAUAUAUCUAGCUUCCUCCACUUAGCACAAUAUUUCCAAGCUACAUCCACGUUGUAGAAUACAUCAGUAGUUUGCUACUUUUUAUUGCUAAAUACUAUUCCAUGGUCUGAUUAUACCACAUUUUGUUUAUUCUUUCACCCGUUGGUGAACGUUCAGGUUGCUUUCAUUUUGAGGCUGUUACAGAUAAUACUGCCAAGAGCAUUGGUAUACAAGUCUUUGGAAGGACAGGGGCUUUUACUUCUUUGGGUACAUACCUGAGAUCUUGUAGGUGGAGUACAAUGGCUGGAACAUUUGGUAACUUUUUUUAAAAGCUUAUUUCUUUAUUUAGGGAGGGAGAGGGAAAGAGAGGGAGAGAGAGAGAAUCCCAAGUGCAGAGCCCAACGUGGGGCUCGAACUCACAAAUGGGAGAUCAUGACCUGAGCAGAAAUCAAGAGCCGGAUGCUUAACCAAUUUAGCCAUCCAACAUUUGGUAACUUUUUAACAGCUUUAUGGAGCUUUUGUUUACAUACCUAAAAGAUACUCUUUUAAAGUUCACAUUUAAGUGCAUUUAAAAUUUAACUUUUUAAAAAACUGCAAAAUUGUUUUCCAAAGAGGCUGUCUAGUUUCACAUUCACAGCAAUGAAUAAGGGUUUCAGUGUCUUCUCUUCUUGUCAACGUUUGGCAUUGUAGGCCUUUUGACUAUUGUCAUUCUAAUGGAUAUGCAGAAGUAUUUCUAUUGCAGUUUGCUUUUAAUUUGCAUUUCCUGUUCACUAAUGAUCUUUAGUGUCUUUCCAUGUGCUCACUGUCCAUUUGUUGAACAUCUUUAGUAUGGGUAUCUAAUAUGUAUUCAUUUAAUGUACUCUUUUUAAAGUUGUAAUGUUUGUCUAUUUUUGAGUUGUAAGAGUUUUGUAUAUAUUAUGGAGAGAUGUAGUCUGCCAGAUUUAUUAUUUGCAAAUAUAUAUGUAUAACAGUGACAUUAAAAAAACUUGGUUGGCAUUAUCUAGUAAAGUUGAAUAUAUACAUAUAUCUUACAUGAUCUAACAGUUUUACCCCUUGUCAUAUACACAACAGAAGUGUGUGUGCAUAUGGACCAAAAGAAAGAGAAAAGUGUGUUUGUAGCUAAACAGUUUGUGUUAGAUCCCAAUGGGGGCCAUGCAAAUGCCCAUCAUCAGUAGGUCAAGGUGAAUGCAUUUUGAUAUGUUCAUAAAAUUGAACUGAACAGCGAUGGAAUGUAAGCAUCAGAGCUGAAGGCAAUAAAUGGAUAAAUCUUACAAAAGAAUGCUUAAUACAAACGGCUAUCUACAGAAGAUAUAAAUGGUAUAAUUCAAUUUAUGUAAGUUUCAAAGUCUGUCAAAACUGAUUCAUGGUGUUAGAAGUCAUAUAAUUGUUAUACUAGAGAGGGAAGAGUGAGUAGUGAUUUAGAGUGGGUGAGAGGAGCUUCUGAAUUGCCGGCAGUAGUCUAUUUUUUUUUUUUUUUUACCCACAUGAUGGUUACAUAUAUGUGUCAAUUUGUGAAAAUUCACUGUAUUUCAUGUUUAUGAUUUGCGGACUUUUAAAGUACAGGUUCUACUUCAAUGAAAAGAUUUUAGGGAAAAAAAAAAAGGAACAUGGGCUCUGGUACUAAAUUGGAUAUAAAUCCUGGCUCUACUGCUCUCUUGCUGUAGAACCUGGGCUUCGUUACCUUAACCACUUUGUGUUCCAGUUCCCUUAUUUGUAACAGGAUAAUAAUAAUAACACCUAUUUCCUAAGUUGUUGUGAGGAUCGUAUGACUCAACUAACACAUUUAGAAGAGUGCUCGUAUGUAGCGUGUGUGCAAUAAAUAUUGGCUAUUGUUAUCACUAUGCUCUGGAUGUCCCCCACUUUAAAAAAUAUUUGCUCCUUCAUAUCCCACCCCUAGAACCCAGUUUUUCUCUUGGAUUUCAUCCCAGUACUUCACUCGCCUGACUCUACAUACCCUCCUGGACAGGUUUCCCGCCGCCAUUUACUGUGUGUUCCUCAGUCCUUAUCAGACAUCUCCAAACACCCCAUGACAUAAUAACCCUAAAUUAUCCAGCUGAACUCAGUCUUUUCCCUUGAAACCAGCUUUUUCCUUUCCUGUUCUCAUUCUUCUGUUCUCCUUCUUCUUUUCUCUUCACCAUCGAUUGCCUGUUCCACACAACAGCAAUGACACUGAAAUCAGAGAGAUCUGGGGUCAAAUCCUGGUUUUGUUUAUGCUAGCCGUGAGACCUUGGGGGCCAUUAACCCCUAUGCACUUUUGCUGCUUCUUAUUUAAUAGAAGGAAGAUGACAUACCCUAUUUAGGUUUGGUUGAGGGCACAAAAUGUUAUCAUGCUUGAUACUGACUUAUGAUCUGGGACAUGGUAGGCAUUCACUAAAUGUCAACUAUUAAUUUUUUUUUAUUGUGCUAUUGGUUUGGUUAUUUCUUUUCAGAGAAUUAAAUCACAUUUAUUUCUUUGAAUUUGUCCUUCUUCUUUAUUCCUACUAUUGCUACUAGGUCCCAGUUUAGAUCCUCAUUAUCUUUUGAAUUACUACAAAGGUCUCCUUACUUUUCCAAACUUGAACACUCAAUUUCAUUAUCGAUGCUACCUCAAUAGCAUGCCACCACCCACAGGCUUAAGCCCCUCAAUGACAUUUUCCUCUUGUUUCUUGGAUUAGGUCCAAGUGUCUUAAAGCGAAUUGCCUAUAAUAGCAAAGGACAGAAUUACCUUUCUCGAGGAAGAUGUACCAUAUUGCCUUGAUGUAGGGGGUUUGGACCAUAUGACCUCAUUAGCUCUCUUUUAGAUUUGGGAGACUUGGUGUGGAGAAGCAUUUCCUUCUUUGCAAAGGAGGUCAGGGAAAGGGCAAUGCAGUGUUUUCCACUAAUGAAAUAGCAGCUACAGUGGGAGAUCAAAUCCCUCCAGGAACUUGACUCUUAUUUUUAGCUCAGCUCAAAGGGCUGUAGCCUAUUUUAGCCAGCUCUGGGACUUCCCACAGCAAUCUGAGAGAUGGAUGUCCUGGCUGCAAGUGAAAGAAAGCUGUGAAUUUUAGAGUGGAGAGACGAUACUCAUGGUUAGCCCAUGGGAGGUGUGUUUUGACUAAGAAGAAUGUGACUUUUAUUGGAGCCAUUGGCCGCAAGAGCUUCUAUGAUACACUAAAUAAAAGCUUGUAUUUGAUAGCCAAAGACCUGAGUUCCAAUUCUGCCCCUGCCAGUGAAUAGCUGUUUAACACUGAGGACAACCAUUAAUCUCUUUGAGCCUCAGUUUCCUCAUUUGUGAAAUAGGAAUAAUGACUCCUAUCACCAAGUGUUAUUGAGAAUUAAAUGAGAUAAGCGUGUAAGGUGCCUGUCACAUAACAGGUACUCAGGCUAUGAGCGGUACUUUCCUCCUGAUGGUUGGUGGCUUCUCGGGUGGCUACGUGGAUUUUCACUGGCUGCAAAAUUACCUUGGGCACACUGUUUCAUGAGAGGGACAUGAAAUCAAAGCUGGGCCAUCCUCUAGAGGAGGGAAAUUAAAAGUAUCCUAGGAUAGCACUUCAAGGCCAUGAGUCUAUUUCUUUGGCAUCCAUUCCUGAUCUAAUUAAGCCUUCACAAUUUGUUUCAGUCCUUGUAAAAGGGUCUCUGCCUCUCCACAUCUGGGUCCUGUUCUUCAUCUGAAAGGCUACAGACAGCAUAUUGGAAAGAACAGAGUGUCAAACGGCCUCAGAUACAGAAUUCUGAACACUGAAUCCUGUUCAUCAUUAAGUCUAAAUUUCUGUUUUGGGACAGAUUUUCUGCUUCUGGACUUCAUUUGGGUUGAAUCUCGCUCAUUAACCCAAAUUGUUUAUUUGUAUUUCAUUCAAUAAGUUCUUCUGUCCUACAGUAAUCUGUAAUAGUUGUUUAUAACAUCUUUUUAGAGACAAAAUGAAUAGAAAAUUAAAAAAUAUAAAAUUUGAAACCGGAUACCUGGUUUUGAAUAUCAAAAGUAUUUUAAUUUUGAAUACCUAAAGUUCUGAAAGUACUGUUUGGUAAAAAGAAAAACAAAUCACACAAUAAACUGGGAGAACCAUUCAAACCUGUUUGGCAGAGAAAUAACAUGUGUGAAGAUCUCUCAGUUGGUUAUCUUCCUUGAAUUAAUUUCGAACAGCAUAGUAGAUAAGAGACAUGAACCAGUAAUUAUAAAAAGAACAUAAAAUUAUAAUGAGUCUCAGAAAACUGAGAAGCCUCACUAAUAGUCAAAUUCAAGUUAACACAUCUAGAACACACAUCAAUGAAUUUUAUUCUGGGUGCCACACAGACAUAGGGUUAUAAGAUGUAACUGGGGCCAUUGGGUGGAGAAGAAUGAACAAUUUGACCACAUAAUCUCUCAUAUCACCUGAGAUCUCUUUCUUUUUAUAAUGUAGUAUCUUUUGUUUGGUCACAGACAAAUGAUAGUAGCAAUUUCUUGCCAGAAAUAUAUAUAGGUCAAAAAAGAUAUGGAGAAUUUAAUUGUUCCUUCUUUUCUCCCAUGUUACCUGGCACACAGUAGAUGUCUGAAUACAGAUCCAAUUAAUAACAACGUCAUCUAAAUCUCAGGUGAGUGAGGUAUUAACUCUUCUCAUGAAAUGGACCAGCAUGAAAUAGAAUGGGCCCAGUGACAGAAAUGGUUAGAUAAACAGAGAAAAGAACAAGUAUUUAUUUAGGGUAUGCUAUUGUGCAGGGACCUUGCUAAGAAUCUUACACAUGUUACCAUAUGUAAUGUUCACAACAAUACUGAGAGGUAGGCAUAGUUAUCCUUAUUUUUAAAAUGGUGGGGGCACCUAGGUGGCUCAGUCAGUUGAGUAUCCAACUUCAGUUUGUGAGAUUGAGCCCUACAUUGGGCUUGCUGUUGUCAGCGUGUCAGCUCAGAGCCCAGAGGGAUCCUCCUCUCCUCUCUCUCUGCCCCUCCCCCUCUCAUGCUCUACCUCUCCAAAAAAAAAAAAAUAUAUAUAUAUAUAUAUAUAUACACACAUAUAUAUAUGUAUAUAUAACAAAAAAUGUUUCUAAAAAUGAGCAAAGUGAGGUCAGAGAGGUUCAACAACUUGCUCAAAGGUUUCGAGUAAGAAGGAGAAGCACAGCGAUUACUCAUACUGGAUAUGAGAUGUCCACCAACCUACUAGCAGAGACAUGAGCAGAGUAGAAACCCAAGUUUUCCAUUCAGUUUUAGAUUAUUCUUCAAGCUCUCUGUCCUUCAAUUUUUAAAGAGAAAUCUUGAUAUUGUUUUAAGAAAAAAAUUAUGUUUAAAUGUGUACUUUUUGAUUAUACCUAAUGAUUUUUAAAGACACCUGGCAAAGAGUCAUCAGCUCUGAGAGGUAGCAGAAACUAUCAUCUCCUGUCUCAUAUAUAUAUAUUUCUGCAAGCACAGAAUAUUUGCUGAGCAAAAAAUGUUCUCAUUUGAAAGUGAGAUCUGAAGAGGUUUCCUUUGUAAGAGUGACAAAGAUCCGAUGUGAUACAUAAUACACAUUUGAAAAAAUUUGAAUUUUUAACAUUUUAAACCUUCAUCUUAACAUCUUGAAAGACAUGGUUCACAGAUUUCUCCAUCUAUCACAGUGUACAUUAGGUUAUACUGUCCAUAUUGAGCUGUAAUCAUAUUGAACUGUGUUCUAAUAGAGAAUUUUAUGUUGGAGAAGAUUCUUCAUUACUAUGAGAAAAAGGAAUUUGCAAGACUCUCAGUGAAUAGUAUAGUCACUGGAACCUUAAUGGCAAAGAGAAGGAUGGAGUUGAGGAAUGCCAAAAUCCUUAAUGCAGAAAGAUAUGAGUCAGACCCUUAUACAUAUAUAGUAGAUUUUUUUCCUUGGGCUCUGCUCAGCCAGUAAACUACACCUCUUUUUCUGACAAUUGCCAUGUUCAACAGGUGUAGGCCUUGGCCACCACAAUUUUACUGUGUGACCCUAUUCCCUGAAUACUACCCUUCCAUAUGACUUACAGAACCAAGAAUGGGCAUGUGAUCCCCAAAGGGUCAAUCAUAUUCUCCCAAUUCACGAUUCAAAAUUGGGACUCAAGAGAUGUUAGUCAUAUUCUGCUUGUCAUAUAUGAAAGACAUGUGAACUUCAAAGGUAUAAGAUGGCCAUCUUUUGCCACACCCAGAACACCAGAUAAAACUAGUUUGUAGAAACAAAAGAGUAAAGAUGUGUAAACAAAACAUGGGAUGAGGCAUGGUGUUGUUGGGGAGGAAAGUUUAUCUCUACCCUUUCAGAUUCUUCUGGCUAGUCUAAGAAUCAAAUUGACAUGACAUAGAUUAAUGGGAGAAAAUGAAACUUAAUGUGUAUAUAAGGAACCCACAUAAACGUGAGAUUCCAAAGACAGACAAUAUGAGGUAUAUGUGUCAUCUUGAACUAAGGGGAAGAGGGUAGGAGUCUUGAACUUCAAAGGGAAGGACAGCAAUUCACAGGAAGAUGAAAAAUCGUAAAUGGUAAAUAAAUGUUUGCUGGGCCACUCAGAAAUUAUGGGCAUAGAGAGGAAUUUUUACAGACUUUGCUACAUUUCUCCCUGUCCAUCACCCUGAGAUCGUAUUAUACUGUAGUUAUCCAUAGUGAUAGCUCUGUACCUGGAGCAGGUCCUCUGUCUAAAUUUUUUUUUAAUGUAAUUAGCGGGAAGGUCAAAAUUUCUUCCUGAGACUUUUGAAGGGCAGCUCAAAACAAUCUGCAUGCCAAAGUAGCACAUCUUGGGGCAACUCAUUCUGAACUCCUAUAAUACCAUAGAGGGAGGGCCUAAGGCAGUUUGGGAUUUGAGUUUUUUGACAGGUUUCUUGUUUCCAGAUUUUAAUCUCUCCAGAGUGUAUUUCCUUUCUUGGAUUCUGUGGAGUAUCCUACUCUCCUUUUGAUAAAUCCCACCUUGCCUUAUUUUUCCUGCUUAAGUUCAUUAGUGCAGUUUUUUUUUUUUUUUUUACUUGCAACCAAAAAGAGCCUUGAUUAAAACCCCAAACCCCAGGCUGUCACCCACACAGACUGGUGGAGACCGUUGUUCCUGGGAUGGCCAUGUGUUAUAUAUAUAGUUCUAGAAAGUGGAUUAACCAGGAAGUUCAGUCUCCAACUUCGAGGCAGCAAAAUUGAGUGCUAUGAGCCCUGGGCAUAGCUGAGGCUAAGAUCCAGAAUGAGCAAAUAAAGCUGGAGUCCAAAGGGAAGGAUGCCAGAGAAUUUCCGAAGUGGCUUAUUUCCCAGAGUUACUGUAAGUCAGUGAGACAAUACAAAAAGAAAAAAAGUUUUUUUAUUGUAAAGGGCAAGAUAGUUUAGUGGUUUAGGGCAUAGAUGCUACAAUCAGACUCUGAGUUUAAAUCUUGACUCUGCUGCUUUCUGGCUGAGUGACCUUUGUCACAGUGCCUUUGAUCCGUAUGUUGGAAAUGAUGAAGGUGGUUCCUGCUUCAUAUGAUUACUUUGUUGAUUAAAUGAGUUAGUAUAUGUAAAGUGCUUAGAUUACUGGGUAGUGCUGUUAAUUCUAUGCAAGUGUUUGUUACCAGUGUUCAUGGAACUCUGUUGUUGGCCUUCAUUCUCACACAGACAUUGUGAUACUGGUUUUAUAAAUAACCGUGGCAUUCUUCACUAUGAUCUGCAGGUGUACCAUACAGGACAUAAAUUUCCCGUGGGCUAAGGUUUUAUGUUAUUAAAAAAAUAAAUCACCGGGGCGCCUGGGUGGCUCAGUCGGUUAAGCAUCCGACUUUGGCUCAGGUCAUGAUCUUACAGUUUGUGAGUUUGAGCCCCGCAUUGGGCUCUGUGCUCUCAGUUCAGACCCUUGAGCUUGCUUCAGAUUCCGUGCCUCCCUCUCUCUCUACUUGUCUCCCACUCACGCUUUGUCUCUCUCUGUCACUCAAAAAGUGAAUAAACAUUUAAAAAAUUUAAAAAAUAAAUCAAUAGCACUUAUUAAUCUCUUAUUUUAUGGCAAGCACUGCACAUGCACUGUGUAGUUUAGAUAGCAUUAACCAGUCUAUGCUGCAUGUAUUUUUAUCUCCAUAUUCCAGAUAAGGGUGCUGAGAAGGAGAAAGGUUGAAUAGCUAUAAUCCAAAGCCGUAGUGAUCAAGACAGUAUGGUAUUGGCACAAAGACAGACACAUAGAUCAAUGGAACAGAAUAGAAAACCCCAAAAAUGGACCCACAACUAUAUGGUCGACUCAUCUUCGACAAAGCAGGAAGGAAUAUCCAAUGGAAAAAAGACAGUCUCUUUAACAAAUGGGAAGACUGGUCAGCAACACGCAGAAGAAAUGAAACGGGACCACUUUCUUACACCAUACACAAAAAUAAAUUCAAAAUGGAUGAAAGACCUAAAUGUGAGACAGGAAACCGUUAAAAUCCUAGAGGAAAACACAGGCAGCCACCUCUUUGACCCCGGCCACAGUGACUUCUUAUAAGACACGUCUCUGGAGGCAAGGGAAACAAAAGUAAAAAUAAACUAUUUGGACUUGAUCAGAUAAAAACUUCUGCACAAUGAAGGAAACAACCAACAAAACUAAAAGGCAUAUAUAUAUAUAUACAUACAUACACACACACACAUACACAUAUAUAUAUAUAUACACACAUACACAUAUAUAUGUAUAUAUAUACAUAUAUAUACACACACACAUAUAUUUAUGUGCAUAUAUACAUACAUAGGAGAAAAUAUUUGCAAAAGACAUACCCAAUAAAGGGUUAGUAUCCAAAAUCUAUAGAGAACUUAUCAAACUCCACACCCAAAAAACAAAUAAUCAACUGAAGAAAUGGGCAGAAGACAUGAAUAGACAUUUUUCCAAAGAAGACAUCCAGAUGGCUAACAGACACAUGAAAUGAUGCUCAAUAUCACUUACCAUCAGGUAAAUACAAAUCAAAACCACAAUAUGAUACCACCUCAUACUUGUCAGAAUGGCUAAAAUUAACAACAUAGGAAACAACAGAUGUUGGAGAGGAUGGGGAGAAAGGGGAACUCUCUUAUGUUGUUGGUGGGAAUGCAAACUGGUAUAGCCACUGUUGGAAAACCUUAUGGAGGUUCCUCAAAAAGUUAAAAGAUAGAACUACCCUAUAAUCCAGCAAUUGCACUACUAGGUAUUUAGCCAAAGGUUACAAAAAUACAGAUUCAAAGGGGUACAUGUACCCCAAUGUUAGCAGCAUUUUCAACAACAGCCAAAGUAUGGAGAGAACCCAAAUGUCCCUUGACUAAUGAAUGGAUAAAGACUGAUGAAUAGAGAGAUAGAUAGAGAUAUCUAUCUAUCUAUCCAUCUAUCCAUCUAUCUAAUGGAAUAUUACUCAGCCAUAAAAAAGAAUGAAAUCUUGCCAUUUGCAAUACAUGUAUGGAGCUAAAGUGUAUCAUGCUAAGCAAAAUAAGUUAGAGAAAGGCAAAUAUAUGAUUUCACUCAUAUAUGGAAUUUAAGAAAUAAAACAGAUGAACAUAUGGGGGGGGAGAAGUAAAAAGAAAAAAGAGAGAAGGAAACAAACCAUAAAAGACUCUUAGCAAUAGAGUACAAAGUAAAGGUUGAUGGAUGGAGGUGGGUGGGGGAUGGGCAAGAUGGGUGAUGGGUAUUGUUUUUGACAAUUUAUUGAUUAAAAAUGAAGAAAACAUGCAGCAAAACACAGUCAAAAAAGGGAGGGGGAAGGUUGAAUGUUUUACAUCGUCUAUAAUAUUUUACAUCGUGUAGCAUAUGUAAUAAGGAGGACCCUCCAUUUAUUGAUACGCCAUUAUUGUAUCCUCAGAUUAUUAAAUAGUAUCAGCUGGCUCUAGGAUUUUGGUUCAAAAUUUAAGCCAAAAAACAAAACCCAAACAAAUCCAUUAGUCAUUUGGAAUAACCCAAUAUAUUUCACAAAUAGCAUUAGCGCAUGUUACCUUGUGCUGAAUUAGUCCCUACCCGCAAGGGCCAGGGGAUCCUGGGACCCAGAGACAGAGGGCACUUGUUAUGUUGAGCACUGGGUGUUGUAUGUAAGUGAAGAAUCACUGAAUUCUCCUGAAACCAAUAUUACACUGCAUGUUAACUAACUAGAACUUAAAUAAAAAUUUGAUAAGGAACAAAAAAAAAAAAAAAGAAAGCAUAUACUGGAAAAGAAACUUUUUGUUUUUUAAUGAAAAUGUAACUUCUGAUCAGUUUUCCAUUUGGUAUGAACUGGCUCUCAGCAAACAAAAGCAACCUGGCUCUGUGGCAUUUGUUGAACUUUGUCCUGUGAAUACUCCCAUUCUGGCUGAUUUCGGGGAUGGUUGUAGUUCACAACUGGCUAGCAGCUUUUCUGGCUAGCAAAAUUCCCAGUACAAGCUGGCUCUCAGUACAUCUCUGACCCUCCUAAGCCAUGCCUAGGCAGAAAUUCUGAAGCUAAUACCACCAAAGAUGAAUGCCAAAUGAUGAAAUCGUCAAAGAGGAGAAUUUCUCUCCUCUAAGACAUGCAGACAAUUAUGAGAUACAGUCCCAGAGCUGACUUACCUGAGGCCAGUAAGAUCUGUUUCUACUUAUUUUUUUUGCCAGCUUUAUUGAAGUAUAAUUGACAAAUAAGAUCGUAAUAUAUUUAAAGUAUACAGCAUGAUGAUUUGAUAUAUGUAUACAUCGUGAAAGGAUUUUCUCCAUUGAGUUAAUUAACAUAUCCAUAACUUCACAUAUUUUUCAUCUCCCCCUGCCCCUGGUUUGUGUGUGUGUGUGUGUGUGUGUGUGUGUGUGUGUGUGUGAGAGAGAGAGAGAGAGAGAGAGUGCGUGAGAGAGGGAGAUAAAGAGAGCGCUUAAGUUCUAUUCUUUUAGCAAAUUUCAGUUAUAUAGUACAUUAUUAGUAUCAACUAUAGUCACCAUGUUAUACAUCAGGUCCUCAGACCUUAUUCAUCUUAUAACUGAAAGUUGUAGCUUUUUACCAACCUCUCCCCAUUCCCCUCCCUCCCCAGUCUGGCUUAUUGCACUUGGCAUAAUGCCCUCCAGGCUCAUCCAUGUUGCUGCAAAUGACAUAAUUUCCUUUUUGAUUAAGCCUUAAUAAUAUUCCAUUAUAUAUACAUUUUCUCUAUAGAUAUUUAUAUAUAAUAUAUAUUUAGUAUUUAUUGAUUUAAUUAUUUAUUUAAAAUGUUUCUUUAAAAUGAGAGAGAGAGCGUGAGCAUGAGUAGGGGAAGGGCAGAGAAAGAGGAGAGAAAGAACCCCAAGUAGGCUCUGUGCUGUCAGCAUAGAACCCGAUCCUGGGCUCGAACUCACAAACUGUGAGAUCAUCAGUUGAGCUGAAACCAAGAGCUGGUCGCUUAACUGACUGAGCCACCUAGGUGCCCCUAGUUUUUAGUUUUUAAAAAUUUAAUUAUAAUGCAGUUAACACACAGUGUUAUGUCAGUUUCAGGUGUACAAUACAGUGAUUCAACAGUUCCAUGUAUACCUUAGUGCUCCUCAUGAAAAUGUAGUCGUAAUUCCCUUCACUUAUUUCCCCCAGUCCCCCACCCACCUCCCCUCUGGUGACCAUCUGUUUCUUCUCUACAGUUAAGAGUCUAUAUUUUGUUUUCUUUCUCUCUCUUUUUUUCCCUUUGUUUGAUUGUUGUGUUUCUUAAAUUCCACAUAUGAGUGAAAUCAUAUGGUAUUUAUCUUUCUUGGACAGGUUUAUUUCACUUAGCAUUAUACUCUAGCUCUAUCCAUGUUGUUGCAAAUGGCAAGAUUUCAUUCUUUUUUAUGGCUGCAUUAUACACACACACACACACACACACACACACACACACUUACAUACCACAUCUCUUUAUUAAUCUAUCAGCGGACAUUUGGACUGCUUCCAUAAUUUAGCUAUUAUAAAUAAUGCUGCAAUAAACAUAGAGGUGCAUAUAUCCCUUCAAAUUAGUGUUUUUGUAUUCUUUGGGCAAAUAUCCUGUAGUGAAAUUCCUGGAUUGUAGUGUAGUCUAUUUUUGAGGGACCUUUAUACUGUUUUCCACAGUGGCUGCACCAGUUUGCAUUCCCACCAACAGUGCACAAGGGUUCCUUUCUUUCCACAUCCUCACCAACAUUUUCUGUUUACUGAGUUUUUGAUUUUAGCCCUUCUGACUGGUGUGCGGUGAUAUCUCAUUGUGGUUUCGAUUUGCAUUUGAUUUGCCUGGUAAGUGAUGAUGAACAUCUUCUCGUGUGUCUGUUGGCCAUCUAGAUGUCUUCAUUAGAGAAAUGUCUGUUCAUGUCUUCUGCCUAUUUUAUAGAUUAUUUUUGUGUGUGUUUUUGGUGUUGAGUUGUAUGAGGUCUUUAUAUAUUUUGGAUACUGAUUUGGAUACUAACCCUUUACCAGUUAUGUCAUUUGCUAAUAUCUUCUGCCAUUCAGUAGGUCUUUUUUUUUUUUUAACCUUUGUUAGUUGCUUCCUUUGCUGUACAAAGGCUUCUUAUUUUGGGGUAGUCCCAAUAGUUAAUUUUUGCUUUUGUUUCCCUUGCCUCAGAAGACACAUGUAGAAAGAUGUUGCUAUGAACACUGACAGAGAGAUUACUACCUGUGCUCUCUUCCUAGAUUUUUAUGGUUUCAGGUCUCAAACUCCAUUUUGAGUUUUUGUGUGUGUGUAUGGUAUGAGAAAGUGGUCCAUGUUCACUCUUUUGUAUGUGGUUGUUGAGUUUUCCCACUGCCGUUUGUUGAAGACACUGUCGUUUUCUCAUCGGAUAUUCUUGCCUCCUUUGUGGAAGAUUAAUUAACCAUAUAACUGUGGGUUCAUUUCUGGAUUUUCUAUUAUUUUCUAUUAAUCUAUAUGUCUAUUUUUGUGACAGUACCAUACUGUUUUGAUAACUACAGUUUGUAGUAUAUCCUGAUAUCUGGGAUUGUGAUACUUAUGCCUUUGUUCUUUCUCAAGACUACUUUGACUAUUCAGGGUCUUUUGUGGUUCCAAUUUUAGGAUUGUUUGUUCCAGUUCUGUGAAAAAUGCUGUUGGUAUUUUGACAGGGAUUUCAUUAAAUCUGUAGAUUGCUUUGGGUAGUAUAUACAUUUUAACAAUAUUUGUUCUUCCAAUCUAUGAACAUGGAGUGUCUUUCCAUUUCUUUGUGCUGUCUUCAAUUUCUUUCAUCAAUGUUUUAUAGCUUUUGGGUACAGGUCUUUCACUUCUUUGGUUAAGUUUAUUCCUAGAUAUUUUAUUACUUUUGGUGCAGUUGUAAAUGGGAUUGUUUCCUUCAUUUCUCUUUCUGCUGUUCCAUUAUUAGUAUAUAGAAAAGCAACAGAUUUCUGUAUAUUGAUUUUGUAUCCUGCAAUCUUACUGAAUUCAUUUAUCAGUUCUAGUAGUUUUUUGGUAGCGUCUUUAGGGUUUUCUGCAUAGAGUAUCAUGUCAUCUGCAAAUAGUGAGAGUUUUACUUCCUUCUUACCAAUUUGGGUUCCUUUUAUUUCUUUUUGUUGUCUAAUUGCUGUUGCUAGGACUUUGAGUACUAUGUUGUAUAAACGGACAUCCUUGUGUUAUUCCCAACCUUAAAAGAAAAGAUCUCAGUUUUUCCCCAUCGAGUAUGAUGUUGGCAGUGGGGUUUUCAUAUAAGGCCUUUAUUGUGUUGAGAUACAUUCCCUGUAGAUCUACUUUGCAGAGGUUUUUUUUUAAAUCAUGAAUGGUUGUUGUACUUUGUCAUAUGCUUUUUCUGCAUCUGUUGAAAUAAUAAUCAUGUAGUUUUAUCCUUUCUCUUGUUGAUGAGAUGUAUCCCCUUGAUUAAUUUGCAAAUAUUGAGACACCCUUUCAAUCAGGGAACAAAUCCCAUUUGAUUGUGGUGAAUGAUUUUUUUUUAUAAUGCAUUGUUGGAUUUGGUUUGCUGAUUUUUUAGGGAUUUUUGCAUCUAAUGUUCAUCAGAUAUAUUGGUCUGUAGUUCUUUUUUGUUGUGGUGUCUUUAUUGAGUUUUGGUAUUAGGGUAAUGCUUGUCUCAUGGAAUAAAUUUGGAAGUUUUCCUUCCUUUUGGAUUUUUUUGGAAUAAUUUGAGAAGAAUAGGUAUUAACUCUUCUUUAAAUGUUUGGUAGAAUUUUCCUGUGAAGCCAUCUGGCCCUGGACUUUUAUUUGUUGGGACUUUUUCGAUUACUGAUCAAUUUCAUGGCUGGUGAUUGGUCUGCUCACAUUUUCUCUUUCUUCUUGCUUCAGUUUUAGGAAGAUAUUUGUUUCUAGGAUUUUAAUCUAUUCUUCUAGGUUGUCCAAUUUGUUGGCAUAUAAUUUUCAUAAUAUUCUCUUACAGUCACUAAUAUUUCUGUGAUGUUGGUUAUUUAUCCUCUGUCAUUUCUGAUUUUAUUUGAGUCCUCUUUUUUUUUCUUUUUCUUUUUUUUAUAAGUCUGGCUAGAGGUUUAUCAAUUUUGUUGAUCUUUUCAAAGAACCAGCUCCUGGUUUCAUUAAUCUGUUCUAAUGUUUUAUAAGUUUCUAAUAAUUUAUUUCUGCUUUAAUCUUUAUUAUUUCCUUCCUUCUACUGGUUUAUUUGUUCUUUUUUUCCUACCUCCUUUAGGUAUAAGGUUAGGUUGUUUAUUUGAGAUUUUUGUUGCUUCUUGAGGUGAGCCCGCAUUGUAUAAUCUUCCCUCUUAUAUCAGCUUUUGUUGAAUUCCAGAGAUUUUGGACCCUUGUAUUUUCAUUUCAUUUGUCUCAAUUUAAUUUUUGGUUUAUUCUUUGAUUUUUUGGUUGACCCAUUCAUUGUUUAGUAGCAUGUUAUUUAACCUCCAUGUAUUUGUGCUGUUGCCAGAUUUUUUCUUGUGGUUGAUUUUGUUUCAUAGCAUUGUGGUCAGAAAACAUGCAUAGUAUGAUUGUUUUGAAUUUCUUGAGAUUUGUUUUGUAUCCUAAUAUGUAAUCUACUCUGGAGAAUGUUCCAUGUGCACUUGAAAAGAAUGUGCGUUCUGCUGUUUUAUGAUGGAAUAUUCUGAAUGUACCUGUUAAGUCCAUCUGGUCUAUUGUGUCAUUCAAAGCCAUUCUUUUCUUGUUGAUUUUCUGUUUGGGUGAUUUGUCCAUUAAUGUAAGUGGGAUGUUAAAGUCCCCUCCUAUUACUGUAUUCCUAUCAAUUUGUUUAUGUUUGUUAUUAACUAUUUCAUGUAUUUGGGUUUCCUCAUGUUGGGGGCAUAAAUAUUUACAAUUGUUAUAUCUUGUUGGAUUUUUCCCUUCAUUAAAUAGUGACUUUCUUUGCCUGUUAUAGUCUUGGUUUUAAAGUCUAUUUUGUCUGAUAUAAAUAUUGCUACGCUGGCUUUCUUUUAAUAUCCAUUUGCAUGAUAAAUGUUUCUCCAUUCCUUCACUUUCAGUCUGCAUGUGUCUUUAGGUCUGAAAUGAGUCUCUUGUAAGCAGCAUAUAGAUGGGUCUUGUUUUUAUAUCCAUUCUGUUGCUCUAUGUCUUUUGAUUGGAGCAUUUAGUCCAUUUACAUUCAAGUAAUUAUUGAUAGAUAUGUAUUUAUUGCCAUUUUGUUACUUGUUUUGUGGUUGUUUUUAUAGUUUUUCUCUGAUCCUCCUCUUGCUCUCUUCCAUGGUUUUCUGGCUUUCUUUAGUGAUAUGCUAGGAUUCCUUUCUCUUUAUUUUUUGCAUACCUAUUACUGGUUUUUGAUUUGUGGUUACCAUUAGGUAUGUAUAUAACAUCAUCUUCACAUAGAAGUGUGUAUUAAGUUGAUGGUUGCUUAAAUUUGAGCCUGUUGGGGCGCCUGGGUGGCGCAGUCGGUUAAGCGUCCGACUUCAGCCAGGUCACGAUCUUGCGGUCCAUGAGUUCGAGCCCCGCGUCAGGCUCUGGGCUGAUGGCUCAGAGCCUGGAGCCUGUUUCCGAUUCUGUGUCUCCCUCUCUCUCUGCCCCUCCCCCGUUCAUGCUCUGUCUCUCUCUGUCCCAAAAAUAAAUAAACAUUUAAAAAAAAAAAAAUUUGAGCCUGUUCUUUAUCCCCCUCUAUCCCAUAUUUCAGGUAUAUGAUGUUAUUUUACAUUUGUGUGUAUGUGUGUGUGUGUGAACCCUUGACUGAUUUUUAUACAUAUACUUAUUUUUUACUGCUUUUGUGUUUCCUACUUUCCAUACUCAUACUUAUGAUCUUUCCUUUCCACUUGAAGAGUCUCUUCUAACAUUUCUUGUAGGGCUGGAUUAGUGGUCACGAACUCCUUUAGCUUUUGUUUGUCUGAGAAACCUUUUUUUGAUGUUUACUUAUUAGAGAGAGACAGACGGACAGACAGAGCAUGAGCUGGGGAGGGGCAGAGAGAGAGGGAGACACAGAAUUGAAGCAGGCUUCAGGCUCUGAGCUGUCAGCACAGAGCCCGACAUGGGGCUCGAACUCACGGACCGUGAGAUCAUGGCCUGAGCCGAAGUCAGAUGCUUAACUGACUGAGCCACCUACGUGCCCCAGUUUGUCUGAGAAACUCUUUAUCUCUCCUUCUAUUCUGAAUGAUAGUCUUGCUGGAUAGAAUAUUCUUGGCUGCAUAUUUUUUCCUUUCGGCCCUAUGAUAUAUCAUGCCACUCCCUUCUGGCCUGCAAAGUUUCUGCUGACAAAUGUGCAGAUAGCCGUAUGGGGUUUCCCUUGUAUGUAACUGUCUUCUUUUCUCUUGCUGCUUCAAAAAUUCUCUCUUUAUUACUACUUUUUUACCAUUUUAAUUAUAUGUGUCUUGGUGUGGACUUCCUUGGGUGGAUUUUGUUGGGGAAUCUCUGUGCCUCCUGGAUCUGGAUAGCUGUUUCCCUCCCCAUAUUAAGGAAAUUUUCAUAUUAGUCCUUCAAAUAAAUUUUCUGCCCCCUUUUCUCUCUCUUCUUCUGGGAUUCUUAUAAUGCAAAUGUUAUUUCUGUUGAUGGAGUUGCUGAGUUCCCUAAGUCUACUUUUAUUUUGCAUAAUUUUUUCCUCUCACCUGUUCAGCCUGAUUAUUUUCCAUUACUCUGUCUUCCAGGUCGCUAAUUCAGUCCUCCGAUUCCUCUAGCCUGUUAUUUAUUUUAUCUGAUAUAUUUUUAAUUUCAUUUAUUGUGUUCCUCAUCUCUGACUGGCUCUUUUUUUAUCUCCUUGUUAAGGGUCUCACUGAUGUCCUCCACUUUUUUAUCAAGCCUAGUGAGUAUCUUUAUGAUCAUUAUUUUAAAUUCUCUAUCCAGCAUAUUAUUUACAUCUGUUUCACUUAGGUCUCUCACUGUGGUAUUGUCCUGUUCUUUCAUUUGGGACAUAUUCCUCUGUCUCAUUUUGUGUAACUAACUGUGUCUGUUUCUGUGUGUUACGAAAAUCAGCUACAUCUUCUGCUCUUGAAAGUAAUGACCUUAUAAAGAGAAGGUCCAAUAGUGCCUAGCUGCGUUCCCUGUUCACCAGAACCUGGCACUUUAGGAGUGUCUCCUAUGUGUGAUGUGCGUGCCUGCUAUUUUGUCCUGGCUGCUUUUUCCUUCAGUCUGGUCAUCUGCAGAGGCUCUCCCUGCCUUUUGUGGGCAGUGUUUGCUUCCUGGCCAAGUGAAGUUUGCAGUUUUAAUAAGGUGCAUGCUGGUCUGCUUGCAAAAUGAUACCCAUUGACUCCUCCAUGACCUGGGCCACAUAGGCUGGGGUGCAGUCUUAACAAGGUGUACCUUUGGCUUCCACGAUGCCCAUUGGUCUCGCCACCGCUGCCACUGCUGGUACCAAGACCCUGCAAAACAUAGGAGCUGGGAGAUGCAGUGUGGGCAAGAUUUGCACUAGUUUUCUGGGGGAGUGGACCCGCUGCACCAGGACUAAGCCAAGCAUGACCAGGAAAGAUAGAGCUUCUGAAGUGCAGGGGGAAGGCUUGGCGUAAGCAAGUUGGGUAGUGAAUGCCAGUGCCUUGCUGCUUGGCACAGGUGGCUGUGUGUUUAUGCUAGGGACUAGGGGAGGCAGAUGGCACCUGCCAGCCCCUUUAUUCAUGGAGGGGUCUUCCGUAGAGGCACACUCUGAGAUGAGCACAUAACUCUCCCUCCUGUAUGCUCCCGGCACUUUCAAACCGCUGCUUCUAUGCUGUAUCUCCAUGGGCUGUUUGUCAUGCUGUCUCUCUAAGGGCGGGGACUCAGCUUCCUAUUGCACUCCAGGCUCUCCUAGAACCCAGCCUGCUGACUUUUAAAAUUCCAAGCUUUAAGUCCCUCUGGUUGUAAAACUUCACAAAAUUCAGCUCCUCUUGCUUUUACUGCCAAAUGUUGUGAAGAUUCAUCUUUCCCAUAUGGACUCGCCAGUGUGAUAGUCUGUUAAUCGCCCUUUUCCAUACCUGUGACUUCCUCCCACCCUGGAUGGCUGUGGUCUGUUUUGAUUCCCACUGUGUCUCUGCCCUUCCCACCUUCUUUGAUGUGGCCUCUUCUAUACCUUUAGUUGCGGACCUUGUUCUGUGAGUAUUUAGGUCAUUUUCUGGGUCAUUUAUGCUGAUGUGUGUGUGUUAUCUAGUUGUAUUCAUGGUAGGAGGUAAGCUUAGGGUCCUCUUACUCUUUGAUCUUCCCAUAGUUCCUAUAUAUAUUUAAAAAUAUUUUAAUAUCUCUAUUAUCUAUAUAUCUAUCAUCAAUCAUUCUAUGUAACAUUUUUUUUGUCCACUCACCCAUCAAUGUAUACUUAAGUUGUUUCCAUACCUUGGUUGUUGUGAAUAAUGCUGCAAUGAACAUGUGAAUGUAGAUUGCUGUUAGAGAUAGUAAUUUCAUUUCCUUUGAAUAUAUACCCAGCAGUGGGAUUGAUGGAUUACAUGGUAGUUCUGUUUGUAAUUUCUUAAGACACUUUCAUACUGGUUUCCUGUUGGCUCUACUAGUUGAUAUUCCCACCAAUAGUAUACAAGCCUUCCCUUGUCUCCAACUCCACAUCAGCAUUUAUUGUUUACUGUCUUUGUGAUAAUAGACAUCCUAGCAGGUAUCAGAUAAUACCUCAUUGUGGUUUUGACUUCCAUUUCCCUGAUGAUUAGAGACAUUUAGCACUUUUUCAGGUACCUGUGGGCUAUUUGUAGGGCUUCUUUGGAAAAAUGUCUAUUCGGAUCCUUUGCCUAUUAUUUUUCAGUUGGGGUAUUUGGGUUUUUUUGCUAUUGAGUUGUGUGAGUCUCUUGCAUAUUUUGGGCAUUAACCCCCAUCGAAUAUACUGUUUGUGAAUAUUGUCUUCCAUAGUCUGUUUUUUCAUUUUGUUGAUGAUUUCCUUUUGUUUGCAGAAGGUUUUGUUUGAUGUGGUCCCAUUUGUUUAUUUUUGCUUUUGUUACUUUUGAUUUGAUCUUUGGGGUCAAAUCCAAAAAAUGAUUGUCAGGACCAAUGUCCAGGAGUUUUCCCCCUAUUUUCUUCAGGUCUUAUAUUCAAUUUUAAUACGUUUUGAGUUGAUUUUUGUGUAUGGUGUAAGUUAGGAGUCCAAUUUCAUUCUUUUGCAUAUGUGUACCAGUUUCCCCAGCUCUAUAUAUUAAAGAGACUAUUCUUCCCCCAUUGUAUAUUCUUAGAGACUUCAUCAAAAAUGAAUUGACAAUAUAUGUAUGGAAUUAUUACUGUUUUAUUGUUUCUUUUUUCCUCCUUAUGGAGAAAGAAAAAUUAAAAUUGUGGAACAAACAUGUUAGACAAUUUAUGGCUUUUUCCCUUCACUUUGUCUCUAAGACUGAGUUGGUGAAAAGUACCCAUCACAUUUGGGAGGAAAAGCUCUAUUGCAUUCAACAAAUAUUGAUUGAGUUCUUACAUGUGUCAGGCAAGGGCCUAGGUAUUGGAUAUGAAGUUGUUUGUAGGGAAGAUGGGAACAUGAAUGCUCUCAAUGUGUUCCUGAAUCCUACUCUCCAAGAUCUAAUGACUCCUACAUCCAUGACCACCAGACCCUCUCCUAGAAAUCAACCCCUUUCUGACCUCUAGUUCCAGUUCUACCUCAUCAUUAUUUGCCUCCUGCUUGCCAACACCCCUUGCUUCUCAUUUAACAAGCACUUACUGAGCACCAUACUGGGAGUCAGUUACCCUUCAGGGUGCUUCAAAUGCAUCAAUGGAAAAAACAGAGAAAGAUUCCAUAUAUUCUACUGGUAAUAGAUUCUAUCAGCUCAUCUAGGCAUCAUUAAAUACUCAAAGAUUUUUGAAUUUCCUCAAAAUACCCAGGACAUUUCUAACUCCUAUCUUCUCCUCUGUAAAUACUUCCAGUCCUGUGUCUCUCUGAUAAACACCUAAUGAUCUUCCAAGAUUCAUUUAAGUGUCUUUUCCUCUGUAAAGUCAUUCCUGACUCCCUUCCUGAAAACAAAGCUAAUGCCCCUUUUCUUUGUACUCCUGUCAUAUAAUCACAUUUUCCUGUCAAUUUUCCACUUUAGAUGAUGAUUUCCAUGUGGAAAGAGAUGGUGGUGGUUGUUGUUGUACAUAUUGACCUACUUACUAUAGACACUUGUUUGGACGUAACUAAUGAAAGGGACAGAGAGAAUGUCUAAUAUUCUAGGUAUCUGGAUAAGCCAAUUUGUAACAUAAACAAUUUAAGAAUAUGCUGCCUUAAAACAUUCCUGCUUAUGUUUAACUUCAUUGUAUAAGUGCUUUCGAAAAAUAUUAAUCAUACUUAGAUUCAGAGAGUCCCUGAAAAAUGUGGGAAUGUUGGCUAACUCUGACAUUCUUCAUUGGAAGUCUUUAAGAAACCGUAAGGGAUUUGAAUUUGUUGAACCUGAAACCAACGAAUACAGACAGCAAUAUAGAGGUAGAUGAUAGUGUUCAGAUUUCUGCAGAAGGCAUUCAUCUGGUAACAAUUUUGUCCGUAUCGCUCCUAGAUUACGCAGCGUCCUUAUUCAGCAUGUUCAGGACAUUGUGUUAUUUGUCACUACAGUGCCAGCACCUAGUAUGGUGCUGGCACUCAGUGAGUGUUUGAUGAAUAAAUGAUACAAUAGUCAAACAACAGGUUUAAUAGGUAUUUAUUUAAACAGGCAGCUAUUUGAACAAAAUGACUGAAUUACCACAAGGCUUUAUUACCUAGGUACUAGCACAGACAUCACAGACUGCUGUUGCAGACUCUAGUCAAUUAUUUAAGCUAAUCUCAGGUGCCAAAGAAAAUGAGCUGCCAUAGAGGAAAUAUGCUUACUGCAUGAAAUAUGAAAUGAGAGAAUAGGUUUUACUUUAUGUUUAAGGAAACCUUGACUCUGAUGAGGAGACAUAAUUUUUGUGGGACUAACCCUUUCAAUAUAAAAACAAAAACUUUAUUGUCCAAUAAAAUAUUUGGAAAAACAGCUUGAUUUUGUAUCAAAUGGCAAAUAUACCACUGUAAAGUACAGUUUCCACUAACCAAGUCAAUGCAGGCCAACAAAUAUUUUCUGAACACCUUUGUGUCAGCUCAUGUGAUGUAAAGAUUAAUAUAAUAGCUCUUUCCCUCUAAAAGUUUUAAAAUAAUGCAUUAGCCCCUGGGUGUGGUGUGGUUUAAUGAGAGAUAACUGAAUGAGUAAUUGAUAGAUCCAGUUUUUAAUUUUUAAAGCAGGUACGUCCUUGACCAUGUCAUCUAGGCCAUGCUCCCAGGAUACAUGUGACUGCUUAUCUUGUGCCAGACACUGGGUGAGCUCUAGUCUCAGAACUGGAACUUGGGAGAUACUCAAUAAAUACUUGCUGAAUGUGUGAAUGAAUGACUGAAGUUAGAACAUCAAACAGUUCUCUGUUCCUGCCUUGUUGAUAGUCAGAAUUUGGUGGUGGAAACAUGAUUAGGGAACAACUCAUAAAGCAUCCUUCUGCUUGAAUGAAGGUUAAGGAAGACUUACAGUUUCAGCCCCAACUGUGUUUGUUUAUUUUUAAUUUUUUAAAGUUUACUUAUUUAUUUUGAGGGGGUGGGGCAGAGGGAGAAAGAGAAACCCAAGCAGGCUCCACUCCACACUCAGUGCAGAGCCUGACAUGGGGCUCGAUCUCACGAACUGUGACUGACACGGGGCUGGAUCUCAUGAAUUGUGAGGUCUUGACCUGAGCUGAUAACAAGUGUUGGAGGCUUAACUGACUGAGCUACCCAGGCACCCCCCAAACUGUGUUUUAGAAAUACUAAGUUUUCCAGGGAGGUUGUCCAUUUCAGGCAGAGGAAACAGGCCUAAAUGUGAAAGGUACCACGGGGUUUUGGGGAUGUGAAGAUCUGGUGGUUUGGCUAGGUUUUGGGAAGGGUUGAGGAAGAGGGUGGAGUUGACCCAAGAGACAAGUAGAGCCAUUAAGAAAAACCCAUGACAAUUUAAUGUACGUACUCAUUCAAAGAUGCCCGUGAAUGGUACAGCCACUCUGGAAGACAGUUUAACAGUUUAUUAUGAAGUUAAAGCUACAUACACAGGUCGAUCCAUUCUUAAGCAUGUACCCCCAGAGAAAUAAAAACUUAUGUUCACACAAAACUUUCUGCAUGAAAGUUUAUAGCAGCUGCAUUCAUAAUUGGCCUAAACUGUAAACAACCCAAAUGUUCCUCAGCGGUUUAAUAGAUCAGCAAACUGGGGUACAUCCAUGUGAUGGAAUACUAUUUACCAAUAACAAAAAUAGUGAUAGACACAACCACUGGAAGGAAUCCCACAGGUGAGUGAAAGAAGUCAGUUUCAAAAAAGUCAUAUAACUCAUGAUAGCAUAUGUAUAUUAUUCCCAAAGAAAAAAUUACUGUAGUGACAGAAAACACAUCAGUUGGUUGUUAGGGGUCAGGUGUGGGGAAAGGGGGUAACUACAAGGGAAUAGCCUAUGGAGUUAUUGAGAGGAAUGAAACUGUUCUCUAUCCUGACUGGUGUGGCGACCGCACGAAUCUGUCUGUGUGCUUACUAUGCACGUGUCACAGUGCAGAGAACCAUACUCACACAAAAAGUGAAUUUGGCUCUAUGUUAAUUUAAAACUUUAAAAAAGGUGAUUGCAAAUGAGAUGAAGCCUGUUAAAGGGCUUCUUUAACAUUCAAACUUCUACAUAUUAUAUUUUGUAUUAUAUAUAGAAUAUGACAUAUUCUAUUUCUGAUGUGAUUCAUUUAGACCACUCACAUCUCCCUUUACUUUUGUCCCUAAAAAUGAUACAAAUUAUAUCUUGUACUUCUCAUUUAUAAAUUUGAGGCUUUUAAAAAACCUUUUUGUAAAGUGUUUGUGGAGGUACAAAAUGUUCCAUUUUGGUGGGAAAUGUUAGACUUGAGAUAUGCAAAUAUUAACUUCUGAAAAAGCCCCUUUUAUGUACUUAGAUAGGAUGAGGAUUCCUAGGAAAACAGCCUGGGAAUGAGACUGUAAUUUCCCCUCAAGGAUCCUCUGGCCCUUGGCUGGGUUGGGAAGGCCACUGACAAUAACCUCUUUCUGUGAACCUUGACUCUCCAGUCCAGAGAUGCUAUGUCCUGCUGUGCCUUGGUGUAAUCUCAUCUACUUUAUGCAGGUUCUUAAUUUAAUACUUGCGAAAGGGUAGAGGAGCAAGGAACAUGGGAGCUCGUCUUUUUACAGAGGAGGAAACCAAAGCCUAGAGAGGCCAUGGUUCUUGCCCAAGGUUCCAGGAGACCAGGAUUGAAACCCAGUUUAUUUAGAUGGCUGGUGGAGUACUCUGUUUCAUAUUCUGCUGCUUAAAGCUUGAACUGUUUGCUUGGCGUUUGGGAGAAACUAUCCCAUGACUCUGUGGGUAGUCCUUUUGCCUUCAUAAAAUAGACUUAAAAACUGAUAGGAAGUACGCAAUUCAUUAACCCCAUGCUUCAUAAAAGGAAAAUAAAUCUAAGUAGGCUUCUUUCCUUUCCGUGGGUGUUUGUGAGUUUCUUAAUGAGAAAGUUCACAUGUGAGGGAGAAAGGGACCCUUGAAAAGCAGCCUGACCUCAAGCUGAUAAUCACUAUUUUUUUUUUUGGAGAGAAAAUGCUUUUGCCUCUUUUAAAGGGACAAGCCCAGGCUCUGACUUGCUUUUCAAAAAGUGGAGAUGAUUUGUAUUGAGUCAUGCACACUCCCUUGCCUAGUUCUAUUUAUCACAUUGUGUGUGUGUGGGGGGGGCAUUUUCCGCAUGUCUUGGUGGAGUUGUGAUCAGUGGGGGAUUGAGCCCAAUUUCAACCUUCGAAGAAGCAGCUGACCAAGUGUCGAGCUGAUCUCUGACACAAGGUAGCUUAGCACAUUGAAAGUGCAGUAGCCCAGGCGGCUAGCAACUAGAUUUGGAUGGUGACUUCGCCACUAGAUUCGAGUAAAUUAUUGCCCUUUGUCAGGCCUCACUGUUCCUGUGUGCAAGACACAACAUUUGGAUUAUAUCAAGAAGUGUACCUACCUGGCCUAUGGGCUACACUCUCCCAGUCUUGGGACCAUGUGGGCGUCACUAGAUGACCAGAGACUAGACCCUCCUUCUCUGAUUCCCAGAAUCUUUGUCCGUGGUAAUCGUGCUCUAAGUAUUAAUGGAAAUUACUCACUGAUGCAUCAUCAUUAACAUAUGUUUGAUGCCAAAACUUUUUUUUGUUGUUGAAUGGAAGACUAAACAGAUUAAUUCAUAUUUGUGCUAGAACUAAGGUCACUCUCUGACCUGUGGCCUACCUUCCACACCUGGAGCUGCCUGAAUCCUGUCUCCUGUGGCCUUACCUGGAACCACGACACCAUCCGCCACCCACUGACCAUCUCCCUGCCAAGCUCCCCUCUCAUUUAGCUUCUCUGAGAGUUGUACCUACCGGAAGGAAUUCACAGUUUUUCAUGGCUCUGUAGACAAAGCCCUUUGGAUACUUAAGUGAAUAAAACAGACUGUUAACAGCGUGAAAUGAUGUUCUGCACGGGAUGUGCCUCAAACAGGAACUGGCACAUGGUUAAUAGCCCUAUUAUCAUCAUUAUUAUUACUCCAAUUGUUAUCUUUAUUAAUAAUUUAGAAAAAAGGCUUCUGCUUAUCUAUAAGGGAUUAUCAUUAAAUAUGUAUUCUUCUGCUUCCCUAUCUUCUCGACAACAACCAAAAUCUAUUGUAGCUUCCAGAUCUGAAUAUUCAUUCCCUGCUCUCUGAGGACGGCUGAGCCAAGCCCAAUUUCACCAGGACUAUGAUUUUAUUAUUUCUGGACUCUGCUCACAAGAAGUAGUAAGUGAAGCCUUAUCAUCUAAGAUUUCUUUCAAAUGGGAAGUUUGCAUGUUUUCUCUUUUAUAACUAAAAAGAAAAGGAGAAAGAGAGAGAGAGAAUACUCACUUUGCCUUACUAGAAAGUCAGUUCUUUGUGCCUAAAGAAUCCAGAGGCUUUUUCUAGUCCCCAUCCCAGUCUACAAUAGACCUUUCUAUACUUUUUUCAUAGCUUCAUAUACACUUCUUUCAUGGAUACAAUGCAUUAAUCAGUGUGAGAUGUUUUCCAACAUUGAGGUGUAAUCUGUAUGAAAGCAGGGACUCUCAUCUUCUUGUCUUCUUUGUUUGCCACUACCUGAUACAAAGUAGUUGCUUAAUAAAUACUGGUUAAACCAAUGAUUUUUCAUGUGAGGUGAGAGGAGGAAGUCCUUUGAAGAAGCCCUGUCUCCUGUCUCCCUGAGUGAGGAUGAGUUGACCUCACCUCCAGAAGCAGAGUACAGGUGCUUACACAAGUCCCUUACUCUUCACAGAUGCCUGGCCUAAGCCUUUGGUGACUUUGAUGGCUAAUUUUAUGUGUCAACUGGGCCAAGCAAUGCCAAAUAGCUGGUUAGACAUUAUUAUUAGGUGUGUGUGCGUGUGUGUGUGUGUGAUGGUGUUUCUGGAAGUGAUUAGCAUUUAAAUUAUGAGCUGAGUAGAGCAGGUGGCCCUCCCCAGCGUGGGUGGGCAUCACCCAGUCCACUGAGGGCCUGAACAGAGAACAAAAAGGUGAAGGUUGAAUUCACUUCACCGUUGAAGCUGGGACAUUAAUCUCCUGUCCACAUGCUCCUGGCUCUCAGGUCUUCAGACCCAGUCUAGAACUGAUAGCAUCAUCUCUCUACAUCUUGGGCCUCUGAGCUGUGUCACAGACUCUGCUAGCCUCCUGGAUGGCACAUCAAGGGACUUUUUAGUUUCUAUAAUCUCAUGAGCCAGUACCUUAUGAUAAAUUUUGUACACACACACACACACACACACACACUCACUCACUCACUCACUCACACACAUCUCCUAUUGGUUCUGACUCUGGAGAACCCUAACUAAUGCAGGGACAGACCUUCAAAAAUAAUUACUGUUGGUGUGCCUGGGUGGCUCAGUCGGUUGAGUGUCUGACUUCAGCUCAGGUCAUGAUCUUGUGGUUCGUGAGUUCAAGCCCCACAUUGGGCUCACUGCUGUCAGCACAUAUCCUGCUUUGGAUCCUCUGUCCCCCUUUCUUCCCCUCCCCCACUCGUGUGCCUGUGUGCAUAUGCUCUCCCUCUCUCUCGAAAAUACACAUUAAAAAUUUUUUAAAAAUGAUUACUAUUUAUUUGAUCCUAUUUCUUUAUAAAUGUUAUAUCCUUUUCUUUUUCCACUCAGAAUAUAACUAGGCUUUCAGAUAGAGCUACAAAAUACCUCUGUUGAAGGUGAAUGAUGCUGAGCAAAGUAACCAUAUCAUUUGGUCAAACCAUCAGCAAAGUUUGCAUUUCCAAGUAUUGCUUUUGGUAUCUAUCUAUCUAUCUAUCCAUCGUCUAUCUGUCUAUCAUCUAUAGUUUUUUCUCUUUUUAAAAAAUGCAACAGUGUGGGGACACCUGGCUGGCUCAGUUGUUUAGGCAUCUGACUCUUGAUCUCAGCUCGGGUCUUGAUCUCAGGGUUUGUGAGUUCAAGCCCCACAUUGGGUUCUACACUGGGCAUGAAGCCUACUUAAAAGAAAUGCAACAAUAUGCUGUUAUUAGGCUCAAGGAGCAGAGCAGGGCUUUUUCAUGGAGACUUAAGCACACCAUGGUUACUUCUGCCACACUCUGUGUUGCCAUAUUAUCUUGGACCCUGACCUUGACCCCAUGUGCUAGGUCUUGCUCCCAUUUUGCACAUAACAAAUCUGAGGACUAGGAAAGAUAAGCAGUGUGCCCUAGGUUCUAAGUUUAGCCUUUGCUGCUUCCUAAAGACACAUGUUAUUGGAAGUGGGAAAGACGGUAGAAUUUUUUUUUUUUUUUUUUAAAGUUGAAGAAUCACAAGCAGCAAGGUACGAGGAUAGGAAAGAACAUGGUGUGUCCGGGGAACCCAGAGUCGUCGAGGUUACAUGGAGUGUAUCAGGAAACAGGGUGGCAUCCUGUGGGUCUGUGCACUGGUUUGUAGGUCUGAGCAGCAAAACAGUGAUGGCAGACUGGUAGCUGUUAACACCACACUGCUCUCCCUGGGAACUGGAGGGCAAAGCCUGCUUAUUCCUAAGAAAAUACGGCCUUUCCUUUCAACCUUCAGCUGUGUAAUUGAUGAUAGAAAUAAUUAUCAAAGGGUUUAGAACUGGCUAAGAUUCAUAGAAGUCUCUCUUAAGAAAAAAAAAAAUUCCACGGUAAUCCAGGUUACAUCCAAUCCCCGAGUGGAUGUGAUGCCAAUUACUGCCACCUGCCCCAUCUUGUCUCGGUUAUGACACCCCAGGGAGAGCUGCACUUAAGGCCCUGUCAAAAAUGUCAGCUCUGCUUCUGGGGCCAGAUGCAAUAACUUCCCUUGAAGACUGCCGGGGCUGCAUCCCACGUGAAAAGCAACAUUAAAUCUUCCCUCAGGCUAAACAGUGACUGCCAAUCUAGCACUGUGUUUUCAGCAUACACAGGGAGACCGAACCCUUCCUCCGGAAAGAAUGUGCCAGAUGUUGCGCCAGAUGCUCUAGAUAGGUUGUCAUUUAAUACCUGACACCUGAAAGCCUAUUUAUCCUCAUUCCCAAUUCACACAUGAGAAUAUUGAGGCUCCAAGGUCACGUGCUUUAUGUGGAUAAACAAGGAUUUUAGCACAUCAUUCUCAACCCCUACAUAUAUUCUCCAUCUCUUCUAUUAUAAUUGGCAAGAACUUAGAUUUCUUUUGUAUUCUUUAAUUGGGAUCCCUUGGUAACUUUCGCCCCACUGUCUUCAAAAUUCUUAGUUUCCAUCCCCAGCGCCCACCAAGAAUCUAACUUCAAUUCGGACUGACUGGAAACAUACACCGCCAUCUUGGUUUUUUACAGUGGAACCCAUGGAAACAAUAUCAACACUAAGGAAAGUCUCUGUUGUGAGAGCCCCAGUGACAAAUAUAAAAAUGAGAAAGUUAUUGGCCAUAUUUUCAAGUUUUAGCCAGAAGAGCUGUUAAAACGAAUGGAAAUGAUUAUUACCCGUUUCCGAAAGUGAUGAAUUCUUCCUCUCUAGGAGCUCGUGUACUUGAUGAGUACCUAUCAAUUUCAAGUUACUUUUACAGGCAAUACACCAUGAGAUAUUCACAAUAGCCCUGCCAUGCAAAUAAGUUAGGAAAUACAGCUGUCCAUCUGCAAAAUCCCUUGGUCAGUGUCUCAAAGCUGUAGGUACUGGACCCCAAAUUCAGUGUUAAGUAUUCUGAUUACAGACAGGGCUGUUUCCACAGCUAUACAGUUGCCUCCCAAAAUGUGCCUAAUGCUUAACUAUUUCAUAUUCAUUCACUUGUUUAUUCUUCCACAUAUUCUUUCAAUAAUAUUAGUCUUUUUUUUUCCCAUUGGACAGACAUGCUGUGUGAGAACAUAAAAAAGCUUUAUCAAAUAGCUCACAAUCUACUGCUACUAAUAAUCGCAAUUCAGUAAAAUAGACACAACCACCAAAGAUUGAGAUCAUCGUAGCUACAAAGAAGAGAUGGAGUUUUGUUUCAAUGCCUCACAGAAGUUGCUUGAUGUGGCUUUGACAGAUAAGGUUUUACCAGGUGGCUAAACAUGUGAAAACCUUGUCAUGUGAAUUUUGCCUGAAAGUCUAUUAUAUUUAAUUAAAAGAACAGUGGUUUCAACAAUAUACAAUGAUACCCAUGUGUUAACAAGACAGGCUUUUGCUUUUCUUUAUCUCAGGAUAACAUUUAAUUACAUUGGGCCUUCCUUCAAUCUAGAUGCUUUUCCAGUUGUUGGGUAUAGCCUCUACACCGUGUUUUAAUUAAAAGAUUUUUCUCUUUGUUAAUACGGUGUUUCUUUUCGGAUUGUUAGUAUUAGGAAGCAUGAGUGUUCUUUGCACAUUGUGGGAGUAUUUGAAUUUCCCCCCAGGGAACUGGGUAGUUCACAUACAAUUUCUUGCAUCAAUCACAUUGAUUGAAAGAGAAGCCCUCCUGAAGGGCUUUGAUUUAUGUUUCGAAAUAAAAGACUAAACACAAUUAUGAAUGGAAACAUAAACACACAUGAUGGUUGUUCAACGCUCGCUGCAUGCAUGAGCCAUAGUUCAGCCAUCCACUUUGACACGGUUAUAAUUGAGUAUGUAGCCAUAAAAAAAACAAAAAACAUAAAACAAAACAAAAAAAAACAACCGUUGGAGAGGAUGUGAAGAUUAGGUAUCAUUCUUCCCAACGCUCCAGAUGAGCGUUCAAAACAAAUGCCAACCAGGGCCAGGCAGAUAACUGGGAUGAAACAGGCCCUCAACACAGAGAAAGCAAUGUCCCAUCUAAUCGUGUAGCUUCAAGUCCGCUAUAGUGAAUUCUCGCCAUGAAGAAACAUGGACUGUGGUUGCCAGUUCUUCUGAUUUUUUUACAAGAAAUUGAAAAAUGAGAUAGUUCAUCAAAAUCUCUCAAUAUUUACAUUUUAGUAUUUUAUUCAUUCAUUGUGAAUUCAUUUAAACUAUGAAGAGCUAAGCAAAGUGCAUUAGAGGGCUGGUUGUGGUCCACCGUUAGUCUAGGCCUUCGGCUCUCGCGUGGGAGUCAGUCUUCGGCUGUCCAUAGGGCAGGACCACCACUGACCAUUCGGAUUGUAUUUCUGAUUGCUCACUCUAGUAUUACUUUUAUCUAGGUGGGGUCAAACUGGAUAGUUUCUGGGGGUGGGUUUAUAUAGCAAUGACCCUACAGAUAGCCACUGCACCUGACGAAUUGUUAGUGCUGUGGGGCAGGAUGGCUGAGAGGGAACUGGGAACUAGUCUCAUUGCUACACCUGCCAGGCAUCCUCUGACUUCCCAGCUAGAUAACACGGAGGUGAUUUCAACAAGCUCUGAGGUUUUAUCUAAAGGAUGUGUUAAAAAAAAAAAAAGAUAAAGCUUUGUGAAAUGGCCAAAUAAUUAUAUUCAGAGUCCCAGAGAAGUAUGAAUAACCAAAAAUCCUGCUCGUGUUCAUUUUGGAGUAAAUGGAGCAGAAAAACAACCAAAUCGACAGGAUGAUAUAUUGUUAAACUGGCUAGGCAUGCAUAGCUUAUUUAAACCAAUAAAAAAUGGUAUCAUAACUCCUUCAUCUGAACUCCUGCAUUAUGUUUGCCUUAAAAACCAUAAAAUCAGUCACCUGUUCUGCGAUCGUUUUCACUUUUCUGUGUUCUCUUCUGGGUUAGUCUGUGUGUUCUAGGAGAAGAGCUAUCAGUGUUAAAUUAUCCUAGGUCAGAGCUGUGGUCUCUCUCCAUUGUUCCGGUAAAUUCAAGGUAGAAUGGAUUUAAUACUCCAUAGCACAAACUCUGGAGUCCGGCUGCCUAAGUUUGAAUCUAUCUUCACUAUUUUGUAGCCAGGAGUUUGGGGCAAUUUCCUUAAUAGCUCUGGGUCUCAGUUUCCUAAGAUGCAAAAUAAGAUGUUGAGAGUUGUUGUGCGGAUGAAAUAAGUAAAAAUGGUUAAAACGGUGUCUGGCACAUAAGCGUUCAAGAAAUGUCACCUACCGUGAUUCAGUUUCUUAUUGCUUAGAUGCCCAGGUGAUAUCCAACUGAUGGAUUUUCUCAUGACCCACCAGUGGUUUCCAGCAAGUACUGGUACAGAAGGAGGGAUGUUCUGUCAGACCCAAAGCAUGUUUCUUCCAUGAAAGAAUAAAAAAUGCUUUGUGGUUGGAAAACUGAUGGAAUCGAUGAAUGAAAGUGUAAAUGAAAACAGGGAUGAAUUAUACAAAUUGUUGGCACCACGUUCAAAUUAUAUUUUCCCCUUUGUUUUCCCUAGUUUAGAACAAUGACUGGCCUAAUCUUUAAAAAAUUGUCAAAUUCUAUUGAAAGCUGAAUAUAAAUGUGAAGAGAGACCAGAUUCGCUGCUCACCAUCAACUGCAACCCAUCCCUUUGUUAAUUUCAUCUUCUUUUCCUGUCCAACUCAAGGCGCUGCUGUGGCUCAGCUUUGUCUCCUUGCUGCUGUGACAUCAUGCUAUUGCCUUCCUUUUGACCUUCACGCCCUUUCUCUUCCUUUCCACCUUACCAAACGCUACUCAUUCUCUGAAGCUCGGUUUAAUUCUCACUUUUCCCCAAAGUUGCCCUUCAUCUGGCCUUCAUUAGAAUUUCACAAUUACCAUAAUUACCAUAACACUAUUUACAUUUUUAUUAUCUCCCUGAUAAUUUGUCAAUUUCCUGGGAGAAACAGCCACAUAUCCUAUUUUUUCAAUGUUUUUAUUUAUUUUUUGAGAGAGAGAGACAGAGUGAGUGCGGGAGAGACAGAAAGAGAGGAAGACACAGAAUCUGAAACAGGCUCCAGGCUCUAAGCUGUCAGCACAGAGCCCGACCUGAGGCUCGAACUCGGGAUGGCGAGAUCAUGACCUAAGCCGAAGACGGACCCUUAAUCAACUGAGCCACACAGGCGCCCCAUCCUAUUUUUCCUCAUAUAUCUUACAUUGACAGUGGCUAAAAAUUUCUUUUUUUUUAAGUUUAUUUAUUUAUUUUGACAGAAUGCAUGUGCAAUUUGGGGAGGGGCAGGGAAAGAGAGAAUCCCAAGCAGGUUUUGCACUGUCAGUGUGGAGCCUGAUGCGGGGCUUGAACUCACAACUGUUGAGAUCAUGACCUGUGUUGAGACCAAGAGUCAGACACUUAACUGACUGAGCCACGCAGGUGCCCCAUGGCUAAAAAUUUCUAAAACAUCAAUGGGGGCAAAUUUUGAAGCAAAACGGUUUUUUCUUUAUAAGAGACAUCAUGUUAAGUAUUAAAUAUAAUUUGUCUUUUAUUUUACUAAAAAUAUAAAAAAUAUAUUUUCUAACUCCAAUCACAGACCACAGUAAAUUUUAGAUACAUCAAAUGCUUAAGCAAAAAUGAUUAAAUUAUAAAAUGUGUAACAAGUACUAAAGUACUAAAGGUAAACAUAUUUAAGACCUGGUAUUGGGCAGAAAAAGAUUGAUAAUGUAAAGAUUGAAAAUAGCAUUUCUUUGUAUCAUACUACUUAGUGGCAAAUGGUAUAUAGUAAUAUGUAUAUCAGAAAAAAUUAUUCUGCAUAUAUAAAGUAUACCUACAAGUUCAUAAGAAAAAAGUGAGAAUAGCAAAAGAAAAUUGAGUACUGUUGAGCAUCUUUUCAUGUGUCUGUUGGCCAUUUGUCUGUCUUCUUAGGAAAAAUGUCUUUUCAGGUCCUCAGCCCCUUAUUUAUUUUUUUGUUUCCCCAAUAUUGAAAUAAAAUUUUCCUAACAUGCGGCAAAGAUGCAAGAAUUUAUAAUAAACACCCACAUACCCAUGACCUAGAUUCUACUGUUAACAUUAUAGUAUGCUUGCUUUUUCAUGUGUCUAUUUAUCUACCCAUUUGCCAUUAUAUUUUUGAUGCAUUUCAUAGUCAAUUGCAGACAUUAAUAUACUUCCCCUAAAUUUCAGCAUGUAUAUUAACUAAAGUUCAAUAUUUACAGAUUUUUUUCUCUCGAAAUACAAUUUGUGUACAGUGAAAUGUACACAUUUUAAGUGUAUGUUUGUUGAGGUUUUUUAAAAUCAUUUUUAUUUUUCACCAUGAAAAGUGUACUCUUUAAUCCUUACCUCCCCACCCAUCUCCCCUCUGAUAACCAUCAGUGUGUUCUCCAUAGUUAAGAGUCUGUUUCGUGAUUGGUCUCUUUUUAUUCUUUGCUCAUUUGUUUCUUAAAUUCCACAUAGGAGUGACAUCAUGAUAUUUGUCUUUCUCUGACUUAUUUUUAUUUUGCUUAGCAUUAUACUCUCUAGAUCCAUCCAUGUUGUUGCAAAUGGCAAGAUUUCAUUCUUUUUUUAUGGCUAAUAUUCCAUUGUGUGUGUGUGUGUGUGUGUGUGUGUACCAAUAUCUUCUUUUUUCAUUCAUCUAUUGAUGGACACUUGGCCUGCUGCUAUAGUUUGGCUAUUGUAAAUAAUGCUGCAGUAAACAUAUGGGUGCACGUAUCCCUUUGAAUUAGUGUUUUGGUAGUUUAGGGGUAAAUACCCAGCAGUGCAAUUCCCGGAUUGUAGAGUAGUUCUAUUUUUAAUUUUUUAAGGAAACAGCAUACUGUUUUCCACAAUGGCUGCACCAGUUUGCAUUCCUACCAACAGUGCAUGAGGGUUCCUUUUUCUCCACAUUCUCACCGAUGCUUGUUGUUUAUCGAGUUUUUGAUUUUAGCCAUUAUUACAGGUAUGAUAUGAUAGCUCAUUGUGGUUUUGAUUUGCAUUUCCCUGAUGAUGAGUGAUGUUGAGUAUCUUUUCAUGUGUCUGCUGGUCAUCUGGAUAUCUUUGGAGAAAUGUUUGAUCAUGUCUGCUGCCCAUUUUUAAAUUAGAUUAUUUGUGUGGGUUUUUUUUUUUUUCGUGUUUUGUGAUAUAACAUCUUUCUUUAUGUAGUUUGGAUACCAUCCCUUUAUCAGGUAUGUCAUUUGCAAACAUCUUCUCCCAUUCAGUAGGUUGCCUUUUAAGUUUUGUUUGUUGUUUCCUUCACUGUGAAAAACCUUUUUAUUUUGAGGUAGUCUCAAAGUUUACCUUUGCUUUUACCUCCCUUGCCUCGGGAGACAUAUCUAGAAAAAUGUUGCUAUGGCCAAUGUCAGAGAGAUUACUGCCUCUGCUCUAUUUCAGGAAUUUUAUGAUUUCAGGUCUAACAUAUAGGUCUUUAAUCCAUUUUUUUAAUGUUCAUUUAUUUUGAAAGAGAGAGACAGCGAGGGAGAGUAUGAGCGGGGCAGGGGCAGAGAGUGACGAAGACACAGAAUCUGAAGCAGAGGCUCCAGGCUCUGAGCCAUUAGCAUAGAGCUUGCCAUGGGUUUCAAACCCACAAGUCCUGAGAUCAUGACCUGAGCUGAAGUUGGACGCUUAACAGACUGACCCCAUAGGUGCCCCCGUCUUGAAAGCAUUUUAAGUUAUUUUUGUGCAUGGUGAAAGAAAGUGGUCUAGUUUCAUUCUUUUGCAUGUAGCUGUCCAGUUUUCCCAACACCAUUUGUUGAAGAGACUAUCUUUUUCCCAUUGCAUAUUCUUUCCUAUUUUGUCAAAGAUUAAUUGACCAUAUAAUUGAGGGUUUUUCUGGAUUUUCUGUUCUACUCUCUUGAUUUAUGUGUCUAACUUUUUAUGUCAGUGCCAUACUGUUUUAAUUACUACCACUUUGUAAUACAGUUUGAAAUCUGGAAUUGUGAUACCUCCCAUUUUUCCAUUUUUAAGAUUGCUUUGGCUAUUCGAGGUCUUUUGUGGUUCCAUACAUAUUUUAGGAUUAUUUAUUCUAGUUCUGUGAAAAAUGCUGUUGGCAUUUUGAUAGGGACUGCAUUAAAUGUGUAGAUUGCUUUGAGUAGUAUAGACAUUUUUUUUUUUUCAACGUUUAUUUAUUUUUGGGACAGAGAGAGACAGAGCAUGAACGGGGGAGGGGCAGAGAGAGAGGGAGACACAGAAUCGGAAACAGGCUCCAGGCUCUGAGCCAUCAGCCCAGAGCCUGAUGCGGGGCUUGAACUCACGGACCGUGAGAUCGUGACCUGGCUGAAGUCGGACGCUUAACCGACUGCGCCACCCAGGCGCCCCUAGACAUUUUAACAAUAUUUGUUCUGCCAACCCAUGAACAUGUAAUGUCUUUCUUUCUUUCAUCAAUGUUUUAUAGUUUUCAGAGUACAGGACUCUCACCUUUUUGGUUCAGUUUAUUCCUAGAUAUUUUUUUGGUGCAGUUGUGAAUGGGGUUGUUUUCUUAGUUUUACUUUCUGCUGUUUCAUUAUUGAUGUAUAGGAAUAUGGCAGAUUUCUGCAUAUUGGUUUUGUACCCUGCAUCUUUACUGAAUUCAUUUAUCAGUUCUAAUAGUUUUGUUGAGGGAGUCUUUAGGGUAUCCUACAUGUAGUAUCAUGUUAUCUGCAAAUAGUGAGAGUUUCCUUCAUUCUUACCAAUUUGGAUGCUUUUUAUUUCUUUAUGUUGUCUGAUUGCUGUGGCUAGGACUUCUGGUAUUACGUUGAAUAAAAGUGGUGAGAGUAGACAUCCUUGUCUUAUUCUUGACCUUAGGAGAAAAGCUCUCAGUUUUUCCCCAUUGAGUAUGAUGUUGGCUGUGGGUGUUUCAUGAGACCUUUAUUAUGUUGAGAUAUGUUUCCUCUAGAUGUACUUUCCAGAGGGUUUGUAUUAUGAAUGGUUGUUGUACUUUGUCAAAUGCUUUUUCUACAUCUUCUGAAAUAUUCCCAUGGUUUUUUUUUUUUUUUUUCGUUUCUCCUAUCGAUGUGACAUAUUAUGUUCAUUGUUUUGUGAAUAUUAAACCACACUUGCAUCCCAGGAAUAAAUCCCACUUGAUUGUGAAUGAUUUUGAAAAAUAUAUUGUUGGAUUUGGCUUACUAAUAUUUUUUGAGGAUUUUGGCAUUUGUAUUCAUGAGAGAUAUUGGCCUGUAGCUCUUUCAGUUUAGUUUAGUUUUUUUGUUUGUUUUUUUUUCUGGUGUUCUUUAUCUGCUUUUGGUAUCAGGGUGAUACUGGCCUUAUACAAUGAAUUUGGAAGUUUUCCUUCCUUUUGGAUAUUUGGAAAUAGUUUGAGAAGAACGGAUAUUAACUCUUCUUUAAAUGUUUGGUGGAAUUUGCCUGUGAAGCCCUCUGGGGCUGGACUUGUUUGUUGUGAGUUUUUUGAUUACUGAUCAAUUUCAUUGCUGGUUAUUUGGUCUGUUCAGAUUUUCUAUUUCUUCCUGUUUUUGUUUUGUUAGGUUAUAUAUUUCUAAGAAUUUAUCCAUUUCUUCUAAGCUGUCCAAUAUUUUGGUAUACGGGUUUAUCAUAGUAUUAUGUUGUGAUUGUAUUUUUGUGGACUUCCUUGAGUUCUUCUUGUCUGGGGUUCUCUGGACUUCUUAGACCUGGAUGUCUGUUUCCUUCUCCGUAUUAGGGAUGUUUUCAUCUAUUUCUUCAAGUAAGUUUCCUUCCCCUUUCUCUCUAGCUUUUACUUCUGAAACCCCAGUAAUGCAAAUACCUGAUAUUGUCCCAGAGAUCCCUUAAUCAUUAUUUUUAAAAAUUCUUUUUUUCUUUUUGGUGUUCAGUUUGGGUGCUUUCCAAUCGCCUGUGUUCAGAUCACUGAUACAUUCUUCUACAUCCUCUAAUCUUCUAGUGCGGAUUUGACUUCACUGAUUGUAUUCUUCAGUUCUGAUUAGUCCUUUUUUAUAUUUUCUCUCUCUUUGUUGAAGUUCUCAUGGAGUUCAGUCUUCUGCCUGAGCAUCUUUAUGACCAUUACUUGUAACCCUUUAUCAGGUAGAUUGCUUUUCUCCAUUUUGUUUAGUUCUUUUUCUGGAGUUUUGUCUUGUUUUUCAUUUGGAGUAAAUGCUUUCUCCUUAUUUUGUUUGACUUUCUGUGUUUCUACGAAUUCGAUAGAAGAGCUACUUCUCCUAGCUUUGUGGGAAUGGCCUUGUGUAUGAACAUCCCCUGUAUAGACCACGUACCUGGUGGCUUUGGCUGGCUGGGGCUGUAGCAAGCAUGGGCUGGGGGUCCCGGGGUGUUCCAUGUAGGGGGCUCCCCAGGGGAUGGCAGGAACUGAAGCAGGCUAAGACCUGGUGGUCACCAGAGUUCUCCACACAUGGGGAACCCUAGCAGGACAGAGCUGAGGUGGGCACAGGCUAGGAGAUCUCAGGGCACUCCACACAGAGUGCGCCCUGGUGAGUCAUCUGCGCUUGAAGCAGAUAUUGGCCUGGCGUGUAGUGGGCUGCUUUGUACCUGUGUCACCUUAGCAAGACAGAGCUGUAAUAGGUGCUAUCUGUGGGUGUUCUGGAGCUGCCUUGUGAUGGCUGGAAAGAGCAAAUUUUGUUUUAAAAUUAUGGACUUGAAUUAUGGCUUCACUUCUCAGCUGUCUCAUUUGGGCGCAGUUUCCAGAGUACCUUGGAAUCUUAAUUUUCUGAUUAGUAACAAAGGUUUCUAAUAUGUACCUUUUAGGUUUGCUGUGAGGUUGAAUAAGCUAAUUAGAGAAUCUGGUAAGGUUUCCAGUGCUCAAGAAAUGAUCAUCACUCCAUAAAAUGAAACCUUUAGAGACAAGAGCCAGUUAGCUUGCCAUUGAGAAACUGUGUAGUCAAUAUAAAGGUAGACCCACGUGUUACUAUAACUUGAACAGAAGACUCUUCUAUGGAAGUGUGAAUCCAUAUGCUAUGUGCGUGGCGGGUGCUUGAAGUUAGCUUCUUUGUCUACGGAAGGUGGGCCUAUAAUUUCCAGAGGCGGUGCUGCCUCUCUGAUUCCUUGCUACCCUCUCACCCUUGCAUGAGCAUCUUUGGCCAAUCUUCCGCUUGAUGUGUUUGCUUCAUUAUUUACAACAUUGGGCUACCCCUGGGCUAGGGGUAAGGCUAAUGUCAGCUCCUAGUUUUGCACAAACAGUUCUGCUGACAGAGGGCAGAAGGAAGAAAACAGACACAGGGAAGAGAAGCUUCGACGACUGCUUGCCAAAUCCCUGCUCGUAAACUUUCUCAGUGAAGAAAAGCUCUCUAAAGCCACACUCACAUUUUGUUUCUUUUUCAAAAUUGAGUCUGACCCUUAUUCUUUAUCACAUUACCCUCUCUGAACGAUCUCCAAAUACUCGGAGCCACUCACGGCUUUGCCGUAUCUAACAUACAUGCCCUAAUCCCCUCCUUUCUGGGGAGUUUUUCUUAGAUGUGCAUGAUGAAUGUGGAGAGAUUUGCUAGCAGGUGAGGCAAGGAUCAUCCCCAGGCUCUGUGGGGGACGGUGUGGCAAACAAAGGCAGUGGGCCUAGGAUUCACUGCCCUGCUUGUGAGGAUGGGGAACAGGGCCAACAGGGGCCAUUCAACACAGUAUUCCCAGCAUGUGGCCUAGAGAAGGUGUUCAGAAAAUAUUUGCCAGUCUAAAGGUGAGCCUUGCCUGGGAAACCUGUUAGUCUGUCUGCUUAUUGUCAAUAAUCUAACAAGAUGCUAUGCCCUCAAAGAGUUUGUAAAUCUCAUCCCUCCACCCCAGUCAAGUAAUAUCUUUGGUAGGGUUCCUAUACCCUUCCUUGAAUACCCCCAGGGCAGCCCCACAGAAAUCAACAGGAGAUGGGAGACUAAUUUUGGAUACAGACUGAGCUGGGUUCAAGCUGUCCAAAAAAUCAGUUUAAUAAUAUAAAAUACUAGGGAUAUGGGAGGCCAAGAAAGGACUACUAAUUCUCGGGGUCUCCUAGCAGCUCUAUUGCAGCCUCUUUGGGGAAGCCACCCCUUUGUCUUGGUCACCCCUUCGUGGCACACUUAACCUUGCUCAGGUUAAGUCGGUUCUGUUGGGAGAGGAAUGACUGAACAUAAGUUAACGUAAAUUGAACACGGUUUAACACACACACAUGCGUGCAUUCCUUCAUUCCCUUUACCUAUUUUGCCCCCACUCCCCAUGUCUCAGAUACAGGCUCCCUUUCUACAGACGUCUAUCCCUUUGCCCCUGUUGCUAACUUAGAUUUCCCUGUAAUUUACUCAUUCUGGGCCUGGCCCAGAGCAAGUGUUCUAAUGAACAAGUUUCUGGCUCAGGGGCCUAAGCACAAAAUGUUGGUGGGUGAUAUGAUUGUUCCUGGGACACACGUAGGUACUCAGUUGUCUUUACCACCCAUGUUUAUUUUCUUCCCAGAGCUUGAAGGAGGAUCCAGCCUGCUUCUCACACCACUGAAGUUCCCUCUUCAUCACCUUGGCUUUGCACUUCCCGGAAUGGAACUGCUUGUUAACUCUCUGAACUAGCCCAAAGCAGGUAAUAUUCAAAGCAGUUCAAUCCAAAGAGCUAUUUUUACAAGUCUGCUGGGAGAUAACAUAGGGGAUAAAGCAGAUUCCAGAAAUACUACUGAUAAGACCCAGCUUUGGGGAGAGGAGAAGGGAGAGGCUGAGGGAUGGAUAUGGGACUCCAGUGGUCCCCAUCCUUCUCCUUUUUUUUAAAUUUUAAUUUUAAUUAAUUUAUUUUUUUAUUUUAGAGACCGCAUGAGCAGGGGAGAGGGGCAGAGGAGAGGAGAGGGAGAGAGUGAGAAAGAGAGACAGAGAGAGAGAGAGAGAGAGAGAGAGAAAAUCUUAAGCAGACCCCAUGCUUAGUGUGGAGACAUGGGCUCAAUCCCACCACCCUGGGAUCAUAACCUGAGCCGAAAUCAAGCAUUGGAUGCUCAAUGGAGUGAGCCACCCAGGUGUCCUCCCCCUCCUCCUUCCUUCUAUGCAGUUUCAUUCCUAAAGCAAAACAAUCCCUGGGGACUUGGGGGUGGGGUGGCGAUGGGAGCUAAUUCUAGGAGGUGGAAUAGGGAGAGAAACAGGAACAGCCGCAGCCAGCAAUCUGUUCAAAUGUCAAUAGGAAGAGAGAGAAGCCUUGAUCACACUUCCACAAUGUUCAGGUUAAGUCCAGUCCUGCUGGGAGAGUAAUAAUAACCAUGACAACAGUAACAGUUAACGUCUGGAACCACUGUAAACAUUGUUUAGUUUAAUGCACACAUGAAUGCACAUACACAAAGGAAACACUAUUCUUACUCUGUUUACUAGUAAGGAACCUGGAACUAGGAGCAGUUAAGGAAGUUGUCUGAGAUUCCGCAGUUGGGAAGUGGUAGCAUCUCAUGUGAACCUAAGUAGUCUGGCUGCAGAGAUUCUCUCUUCCACCCUUACAACCUAUAUUCCAGGACUCUUGCUUCAGGUUUUUCAAAAAAUGUAUGCACAUACAAAUAUGCACACUUAAAACAUAAACUCUUUUUAUUAUUAAAAAGGAGUCACACACAUCCCUCAUUUAAUAUUUUGGGAACAAUGGUGGGGACUGAGUUAUUCUAUGUCCCUGCCAGUUACUUUAUAACAAAUUUAUUGAGAUCUAUUUCAUUUUCCAUAAAACUUAACCCUUUAAAGGAUGUAUCUCAGUGCUUUUUGGUAUAUUCACAGGGUUGUGCAACAAUCCCUACCUAAUUUUGGAACAUUUUCAUCCUUCCAGAACAAUCCCAUUACCAUUAGCAAUCAUUCCCAUUGCCUCUUUUCCCCAGAAUCUGGUAACCACUAAUCUACUUCCUGUCUCUGGGCACGUCAUAUAAAUGGGCUCAUAGAACAUGUGGCCUUUUGUAACUUGUUUCUUUCACUUAGCAUGUUUUCAAGGUUCAUCCAAGUGGUGGCAGGUGUCAGUACUUACUAUGUUUGAUUAUAAUUCCAUUGUAUGGAUAGAACAUAAUUUGUUCAUCAAUUCAUCUACCGUUUCACUUGUUUCUACCUUUUGGCUAUCAUGAAGAAUGCUAUAGUGAACAUUCACUUGCAAGUUUAUGCAGACACUACGUUUUCAUUUUGGGGUGUUUGCCUAGGAGUAGAAUUGCUGGAUCACAUGGUAACUCUAUGUUUCACUUUGUGAGGAACUGGCAGACUGCUUUCCCAGCACUGUCAGUGCAGAGCCCGAUGAGGGACUCAAACUCACAAACCGUGAGAUCAUGACUUGAGCCAAAAUCAAGAGUCAGAUGCUCAACCAACUGAGCCACCCAGGCACCCCAUAAAUAACAUUCCAAUAAACAUGGGGGUGCAUAUAUCAUUUUGAAUUCGUGUUUUCAUUUUCUUUGGGUAAAUACCCAGUGGUGGAAUUUACUGGAUCAUGGGGUUGUUCUAUUUUUAAUUUUUUGUGGAACCUCCAUACUGUUUUCCACAGUGGGGGUACCAAUUUACAUUCUUAUGAACAGUGUUUGAGGGUUCCCUUUCUUCCAAAUCUUUGACAACACUUAUUUCUUGUUUUGAUAAUAGCCACUCUGGUUAGAGUAAGGUGAUAUCUUAUGGUUUUGAUUUGCAUUUCCCUAAUGAUCAGUGAUGUUGAGCAUCUUUUUAUGUGUGUACUUACCAUCUGUAGGACUUCUUUGGAGAAAUGUCUAAUUGGGUUCUCUGCUCAUUUCUUAAAUCAGUUUUUUUGUGCGUUGUUAUAUGUACUAUAUUUUGACUAUUAGUCUCUUACCAGAUAUAUCAUUUGAAAAUAUAUUCUCCCAUUCUCCCUGACUUGUUGAUGGUUUCCUUUGCAAAAACUUUUCAUUUUGGUGUAGUCCCAAUAGCUUAUUUCUGCUUUUAUUUUUCUUGCCUGAGACUGAAUAAACCACACUGUCCUAUAUUGUGCCAGGUAGUCUCAUGUGCACUGGGUUCCACCAAGACUGAUGAUACACGUCANACUAUUAGUCUCUUACCAGAUAUAUCAUUUGAAAAUAUAUUCUCCCAUUCUCCCUGACUUGUUGAUGGUUUCCUUUGCAAAAACUUUUCAUUUUGGUGUAGUCCCAAUAGCUUAUUUCUGCUUUUAUUUUUCUUGCCUGAGAAGACAUAGCCAUAAGUAUGUUGCUAAGGCAAAUUUCCAAGAGAUUACUGCCUGUGUUUUCUUUUAGGGGUUUUAUAGUUUCAAAUUUCACAGUUAGGUCUUUAAUACAUUUUUACUUUAUUUUUGUGUAUGGUAUAAAAGUGGUCCAGUUUUCCCAAUGCCAUUUAUUGAAAAGACAGUCUUUUCCUCAUUGUAUAUUCUUGCCUCCUUUGUUGAAUAUUAAUUGACCAUAUAAGCAUGGUUUUAUUUCUGGUGUCUCCAUCCUGUUCUAUUAAUCUGUGUUUAUUCUGUGCCAGUACCAUACUGUUUUCAUUAAUAGCUUUAUAGUAUAUAUAGUAAUAGCUUUAUAGUAUAUAGUAUUGUAUAUAUAUAGUAUAUAUACUAUAGUAUAGCUUUAUAGAAAUCUGGGAUUGUGAUGCCUCCAGCUUUGUUCUUCUUAAGAUUGAUUUGGCUAUUUGAGAUAUUUUGUGGUUCCAUAGAAGUUUUAGGAUUAUUUGUUCUAGUUCUGUGGAAAAUGCUAUUGGUAUUUUGAUAGGGAUUGCAUUGAAAAUGUAAACUGCUGGGGCACCUGGGUGGCUCAGUCAGUGAAGCGUCUGACUUCAUCUCAGAUCAUGAUCUCAUGGUUUGCAUGUUUGAGCCCCACAUCAGGUUCUCUGCUAUCAGCACAGAGCCCACUCUGUCCCCCUCUCUCUCUGCCCCACCCCCUGCUUGCACCCUCUCUCUCAAACUAAAAAAAUGUAAAUUACUUUGGGUAAGGAUAGACAUUUUAAGGAUAUUAACUCUUCCAAUUCAUGAACAUGGUAUACCUUUCCAUUUGUUUGUGUCAUCUUCAAUUUCACUUCAGAGUAUAGGUCUUCCACCUCCUUGGUUAAAUUUAUUCCUAAAUACUUUAUUCUCUUUGGUGCAAUUGUAAAUAAGAUUAUUUAAAAAUUUCUCUUUCUGGUAGUUGUUAUUGUAUUGAAAUGGAACAGAUAUCUGUAUAUUAAUUUUGUGUCCUGCAACCUUACUGAAUUCAUUUCUUCGUUCUAGUAGUUUUUUGGUGCAGUCUUUAGGGUUUUGUGUAUAUAGUAACAGGUCAUAUGCAAAUAGUGUCAGUUUUACUUAUCAAUUUGGAUGCCUUUUCUUUUUCCUGUAUGACUGCUGUGGCUAGGCUUCCUGUACUAUGUUAUAUAAACGUGGCAAGAGUAAAUAUCCUGGUCUUUUCCUGAUUUUAGAAGAAAAGCUUUCAGUUUUUCACCACUGAGGAUGAUGUUACCUGUGGGUUUUCGAUAUAUGGCCUUUAUUAUGUUGAGGUGUAUUCCCUCUACGCUCAUUUUAGACGCAUUUUUAUCAUGAAUGGAUGUUGUAUUUUGUCAAAUGCGUUUUCUGCAUUUGAGAUCAUCAUGUGGUGUUCAUUCUUCCUUUUGAUAAUUUGUUACAUUGAUUUGUGAAUAUUGAAUCACGUGCAUCCCUGAAAUAAGUCCUACUUGAUUGUGCUAAAUAAUCCUUUUAAUAUAUUGUUGACUUCUGUUUGUUAAUAUUUUGUUGAGGGUUUUUACGUCUAUGUUCAUCAGGGAUAUUGGUCUAUAGCAGGUUUUGUUUUUUUUUUUUUUUUUGGUAGUGUCUUUGUCUGGUUUUGGUAUAAAGGUAAUGCUGGUGUUGUAGCAUGAAUUUGGAAGCUUUCUAUCCUCUAUUUUUGGAAUCAUUUAAGAAUAGGUAUUAACUGUGUUUUAAAUGUUAGAAUGCACCUGUGAAUUCAUCCAGUCCUGGACUUUUGUUUGUUGGGGGGGUUUUGAUUACUGAUUCAGUUUCAGAAGAUUGUAUGUUUCGAGGAAUUUGCCCAUUUCCUCUAGGUUGUUCCAUUUGUUGGGAUAUAAUUUUUUAAUAAAUUCUUUAAUAAUUUUUUAUAGCUGUGUUACCUGUCAUUUCUUUCAUUUUUUAAAAUAAAAAGAAAUAUUUAAAUUCAACUUAGUUAACAUACAGUGUAGGAUUUGGUUUCAGGAGUAGAACCCAGUGAUUCAUCACUUGCGUAUAACACCCAGUGCUCAUCCUAACAAGCACCCUCCUUAAUGCCCAUCACCCAUUUAGGCCAUUCCCCCACACAACACCCCACCAGCAACCCUUGUUUGUUCUGUGUAUUUAAGAGAUCAUGGUUUGUCUUCCUCUGUUUUUAUCUUAUUUUUCCUUCCCUUCCCCUAUGAUCAUCUGUUGUGUUUCUUAAAUUCCACAUGAGUGGAAAUGUAUCUUACUUGUUUCACUGAGCAUAAUACACUCUAGUUCCAACCACAUUGUUGCAAAUGGCAAGAUGUCAUUCUUUUUGACUGCCAAGUAGUAGUCCAUUGUGUAUAUAUAAAUACCACAUCGUCUUUAUCCUAUCAUCAGUCAGUGGACAUUUGGGCUCUUUCCAUUAUUUGGCUAUUGUUGAUACUGCCGCUAUAAACAUUGGGGUGCAUGUGCCUCUUCGAAGCAGCAUUGGUAUCCUUUGGAUAAAUACCUAGUAGUGCAAUUGCUAAGUUGUAGUGUAGUUCCAUUUCUUUAAUUUUUUGAGGAAACUCCAGAGUGGCUGCACCAGUUUGCAUUCCCUCCAACAGUGCAAACGGCUCCUUUGCCAACAUCUUUCUCAGCAUCCUUGCCAACAUCUGUUGUUUCCUGAGUUGUUAAUGUUAGCCAUUCUGACACAUGUGAGGUGGUAUCUUAUUGUGGUUUUGAUUUGUACUUCUCUCAUGAUGAGUGAUGUUGAGCAUCUUUUCAUGUGCCUGUUAGCCUCUGGUUGUCUUCGUUGGAAAAGUGUCUAUUCAUGUCUUCUGGCCAUUUCUUCGCCGGAUUAUUUGUUUUUUGUGUAUUGAAUUUAAUAAGUUCUUUAUAGAUUUUGGAUACUAGCCUUUUAUCAGGUAUUUGCAAAUAUCUUCUCCCAUUCUGUAGGUUGCCUUUUAGUUUUGCUGAUUUGUUUCGUUUGCUGGGCAUAAGUUUAUUAUCUUGAUGAGGUCCCAAUAGUUCAUUUCUGCUUUUAUUUCCCUUGCCUCUGGAGACAUGUGGAGUAAGAGGUUGCUGACUUUUUCUUCUCUAGGAUUUUGAUGGUUUCCUUUCUCACAGUUAAAUCUUACAACAUACAGAAAAUAAAUUCAAAACAAAGCAAGUGGUCCAGUAUCAUGUUGCUGUCCAGUUUUCCCAGUACCAUUCACUGAAGAGACUUUUUUCCAUUGGAUACUCGUUCCCACUUUGUCAAAGAUUAGUUGGCCAUACAUUUUUAGGUCCAUUUCUGAGUUUUCUAUUUUGUUCUGUUGAUCUAUUUUCUGUUUUUAUACAAGUACCAUACUGUUUUGAUGAUUAUAGCUUUGUAAUACAGCUUAAAGUCCAGAAUUGUGAUGCCUCCAGCUUUGGUUUUCUUUUUCAACAUUACUUUGGCUAUUCCAGGCCUUUAAUGGUUCCACACAAAUUUUAGGACUGUUUGUUCUAGCUCUGUGAAGAAUGCUUGUGUUAUUUUGAUAGGGAUUGCACUGAAUGUGUAGAUUGCUUUGGGUAGUACUGACAUUUUAACAAUAUUUGUUCUUCCAAUCCAUUUCUUUGUGUCUUCUUCAGUUUCUUUUAUAGGAUUUCUAUAGUUCUCAGCACACAGCUAUUUUACCUCUUUGGUGAAUUCAUGGAUCAGUUCUAGCAGUUUUUUGAUGGAGUCUUUUGGGUUUUCCGUGUAGAGUAUCAUGUCGCCUGUGAAGAGUGAACAUUUGACUUCUUUGCCAAUUUGCCUUUUAUUUCUUCCUGUGGUCUGACUGCUGAGGCUAGGAUUUCCAGUACUAUGUUGAAUAACAGUGGUGAGAGUGGACAUCCCCAUUGUUUUCCUGACCUUAGGGGAAGAGAUCUCAGUUUUUCCCCAUUGAAAUGAAAUUAGCUGUGGGCCUUUCAUAUAUGGCUUUUUAUGAUGUUGGGGCAUGUUCCUUCUAUUCCCUGUUACUUUUAUUCCUUCUAUUUUCUAUUCCCAAUUUCAUUUUAUUCUGAUCUUUUUAUUAACUGUGGGAUUUUUUUCCCCUCAUUCCUUCAGGAGUUUGGUUAGAUGGAGAUUUUCUCGUUUCUUGAGGUAGGCCUGUAGGUGAUUAAUCUUCUACCUUUACUAUAGGCUUGCUUUUACUAAUGAAAUUUCUUUUAUAUUUUUCUUACCCCCAGUUAUGGCCUUUUUAUUCCACUUAAAGAAUUCUGUAACAUUUUUUGUAAAUCUUUGCCCAUUUUUGAAAUGAUUCUCAGAGAGGAAAGAAAAUGCAAAUGUAAAGUCCUUUACAUAUUCUGGAUACAAGUGCUUUAGUGGAUAGGAUUUCCAAGAAUAUUUUCCCAUUUGGUGGGUUGUAGUUUUAUUUUCUGGAUGUUUAAAUAUAUAUAUAUAUAUAUAUAUAUAUAUAUAUAUAUAUAUUUACUUUCAGUGGAGUCUUUUUCCCCCCAUUGCUGGUGCUUUUGGUGUCAUGUAGAAGAAACCAUCGCCUAACCCAAGGUCAUGAGGUUCUUCCAAGAGUUUACAGUUUUCAUCAUUUAAAUGUAGGCCUGGUAUCCAUGUAAGUUAAUUUUUGUGUAUGGGGUGAAGGUAGGUCUAGCGCUAUUCUUUUGCAUGAAGAUAUCCAGUUGUCCCAGCACCAUGUUGGAAAUCCACCAGUUAAUUUUUUAAUCAUAGCACAUUAUUUUAUAACCAUGGUACUUAGCCUGAGUAUAUUUUUAUUUUUAUUUUUUUCACUUAAUCUUCCCUCAACGAAAGCCAGAACUUUUCAGUUUUAUUUACCACUGUAUUCACUGUGCCAAGGAGAGUGCCAGACAUCCUUAUACAGUCAAUAAACCUUUAAUAUCUGAGCUUUUACAUUAUGUGGAGUUGCUAAUAUGCAUUCUUUCCCAGGUGCGUCUUGGGUCUCCUACACUGUGACUCGUCACCGAUUGGCAUCUCAGAAGGCAGCUGUUAGAAAGUAAAAGGCUCAGGGAGCUUGGGUGGCUCAGUCAGUUAAGCAUCCAACUUCAGUUCAGGUCAUGAUCUUGAGGUUUGUGGGUUCAAGCCCCACAUUAGGCUCUGUGCUGACAAUUCAGAGACUGCCUCAGAUUCUGUGUCUCCCUUUCUCUCUCUCUGCCCCUCCCCUGCUUGUGCUCUGUCUCUCAAAAAUAAACAAACGUUAAAAAAUUAUUUUAAAACACAGAAGGUUCUGCAUUAUCAGAUGCUAAGAUUUCCUCAUAUAGGAGCCCACACUUAAUCUUCUGCUAACUAUACUCAUCUGUCACUUCUUAAAAACAGCAACAAAGAUGUGUAAAGCAUGUUGACUACAAUUAAUACUAAUGUAUUUUAUAUUUGCAAGUUGCUAAGAGUGAAUCUUAAAAGUUCUCAUCACAAGAAAAAUUUGUACUUUGUAAGGUGACAGAUGUUAACUGGACUUAUGAUCAUUUUGCAAUGUAUAAAAUAUGGAGUCAUUAUGUUAUACACCUGAAAAAUAUAAGAUUACAUGUGAAAUAUCAAUUAAAAAUAGAUUAAUUCUAAAAUAAGCAACAAAGAUGUUUUCCACCACAUUUAGAACAAAAAGAAUGAGUAUAGGAAUUCCAGGGGGAAAGUGGAAUAAAAAUAUACAUUAAUAGGUUCAUGUUCUUUUGAGGUUUUAAACCAGGGCCUGUAUUUUUGGGUUGUCUCAAGAAUGCCAGUAGCAUUUUUGUUGAGGAAUAUUAGUGCAGCAAAAAAGCACGUGAACCAAAUUUUGGGUCUUGGAUCUUUUGCAGUUAUGACUUGGCCAAUGUUGCCUUUUUUUUCUCAUCUGACAAACGGGACAAAAAUAUUGUCUUAGUCUGCUCCUGCUGCUAUAAUACCAUGAACGGUAUAAAUUAUAAAGAAUAGAAAUUUCUCAAAGUUCGGGAGGACGGCCACUCCACCAUCCAGGUGCCAGCAAAUUUGGUGUCUGGUGAGGACAUACUUUCUGAUUCACAGAUGAUGCCCUCUCUGUGGGUCCUCAAGGGGGAGAAAGGGCAAGGGAGCUCUCCAGUGUCUCUUUCAAAAAAGUACAAAUACCAUUCAUGAGAGCUCUACUGUCAUGACCUAAUUAGUUCCCAAAGGCCUCACCUCCUGAUGCCACCACGUUGGAUAUUAAGUUUUCAUGGUCCAGAGUGCUAACUAUGACACCAUGGAACCCCGUGUUGGAUAUCAGCUUUUCAGCUUAUGGAUUUGGGGGGGGGGGCACAAAAAUUCAAUCUAUAGCAGAUACCAUAUACUACAAAAUCCUACUGUCAAUAAGAUAUAAAUAUUUGCUACUUUCUCUAGUUAUUCUCAGAACUUAGAGCAGUGAAAAAGAGAAUUAGAAAUGAGAAUGAAAAGUCUUUUGCAAAUGGCUAUGGUUUUAUACAUUGAUGAUCAGUUCGUUUCUCUGCUGUACAAAGAAAGAAUUCUAUUGGUCAUAACCGUUUUCUAAAUUGCUCUUUAUUUUGUAUUUUCCCCUAUAGCCAAGCACCAGACAGAGACAUCUCUGAUAACUUGCUCAGCUUUUAACAGUGGAUUGAGUUCAAAUCUCUUUGUACAGGUAAUGGACUUCUAAAUUCUUUGCAUGUGUAAGCAUUAGUAUAGUGUAUUGGGAACAAACCUGAAUUUGAAUCCUGUAUUUUCUACUUACUAGCUGUGUUACCUCUAACAAGUUACUUUGUCAGUUAUAAGUGCCUUUUCAGUUGAAUGUGCGUGAAUCACAACAUUUAAGGAAACACUUAAAGAAUCAGAACCUGAAAAAGGAUGGGACCAGCAUAGCUCCAGGAAUCUGUUAGGAGCUACUGAACUUUGUUUUUUGAAGGCUCCAACACAGGCAUCGUUAGUUCUCUUUCUCUAGCUCCAUAUCAGUUAAGAUUCAAAGUCUGAGGCCCAGCUUAGAUCACUCAGUGUCCGCCCAAUGUCACUCUGACAAUCUCACUAAGACUUCUGCAAAUGACAGAGGACGAGGUGACUCUGUGGAGAGAAAACUGCUUGAUAGGGCUUGACCACUAAAAAAAGGGACUCAACCAACCCAAGGGGACCUGGCAGAAAGAGGACUGGAAUAAUACGUAGCUUGACUUUACUCCUUUCUAGCCCUUUGUGUCUCCCACUAGUGCCUCCAACCAGCCAAAGCCAACUGGCAGCUCAAUGGCAAGGGAGCCCAUUGAUACAAUUUGUGUGACGUUAGCCUCUUCGAUACGGUGGCGCCAUAGACAAGGGUGGAUGCUAGUAUAUAGAACAUCUCUAAAAUAUUCAUCGUAUUGAAUGCUUUCUUCCCUCUUAUUUAGAAAAAAGGCCCAUGACUUCUCUUAUCCCAGAUGGAAAAGUUACGCAUAUAAGCCCCGGUUCAGGAAAUUCCUAAUAAUUUGGAAGUGGCCAAAGACGUGAGUCGGCGGGUUUUCCUCUUCUUCCCCGGUGCAGCCUGCUCUCAGCAAGGCCAGACCCAGCUGUGGGGUACCCCCUCCUUGAGGAGCCUCAUGGAGUCUGUGGGUGGUAGUUCCUCCUCUGUGGGUGGUCCUGCGCUCCUGCCAAGGCUGAAGGAAUCCACUUCAAAAGAUGCCACCACCACCACUGAUAAAUGGAAUCAGAAGGGCACUGUUUCAGCUCAGACUAUCUCUAAGCACUUUCACCAGGCCGCGUUUGAGGGGUAUUCCUCUUCUCAGCGGCCUUGGGUAAUGAGGGGCGUGGGGGUCCCUACCAGGCAGCCAUUUCUCUGACAACUACCAACUUACCCUCAGUGUUAGAAAGGCAGGGGAGAGGAGGGGCUCAGCUGUGGCCUUUGUGUUCCCUCUUGUUUCCGUGUGCUAAAUAAGGUUGGAAUACUUCGCAGUUUACUCUACAAGGGUAAUCUCUUCAUGCAUUAAAAAUAGACUAAGUUAGACUUACACGUCUCUUCCAUACUUUUCAAAUGAAUUUGAUUGCUAUGGUUCCCUGGCUUAGGAAAAGAGACGAAAAUAGAUACUUGUAGGAAAGGAGUAUUUUGUUUUUAGAAAGGCAGCGUUGAAAUGGGGCUCCCAAACCUGGAUAUGGGGAUCAGCUGACCUUGGUAAAGUCGUUCUCCUCUGUGGGCCUUCAACAUUUGCAGUAAGAUUUGUGUAGGUAAGAAAGAUUGAAAUAUUCACUGUGACCCAAUAUACCUAGAAGAAUGUCCCCUAGUAGAUGUGCUGAUAAGGAAUUAUACCUCUAGAAGGUAUAAUUUACCCCUUUCUCCUGUUCCCCAACCCCUACCUCUGGUAGCCACCAAUCCGUUCUCCGUAUCUAUGAUUUACCUUUUGAAUAUCUUGACUUGUAGAUUCCAAGCGUUUAUGUUUCCAUUUCUCUUUAUUAUGAAAAUACUAAGACAUGAAAAGGCACAAAGAAAGAAGGAUGAGAUUGUUUUUAUAAAGCACAGUUUUGCUUUUGAUCUCUGUGCUGGAAAAGUAGUGUGCAGUAAUGUAAGGAAAACGUAGGAUUUUGGACUUAGGCUCAAAUCUCAAAGCUGCCACUGAGGUACUGGUACUGAGGCCACUCAGCUACAAAAAAUAAUAUUUACAGCCUAAGAUGUAAAGGUGCCUUUUAUUUAGAAGUACUUUGCACGUACUGGUCAUUCGUUAAUGGGGGCUCUCUAUGUUCACGUUUGUUUACAUUUGUCUAAAGCAUAAGAGACUCUUAAAAACUGAGAACAGGGGCGCCUGGGUGGCGCAGUCGGUUAAGCGUCCGACUUCAGCCAGGUCACGAUCUCGCGGUCCGUGAGUUCGAGCCCCGCAUCGGGCUCUGGGCUGACGGCUCAGAGCCUGGAGCCUGUUUCCGAUUCUGUGUCUCCCUCUCUCUCUGCCCCUCCCCCGUUCAUGCUCUGUCUCUCUCUGUCCCAAAAAUAAAUAAACGUUGAAAAAAAAAAUUUAAAAAAAAUUAAAAAAAAAAACAAAACAAAACUGAGAACAAACUGAGGGUUGAUGGGGGGUGAGAGGGAGGGGAGGUGAUGGACAUUGACGAGGGCAUCUUUUGGGAUGAGCACUGGGUGUUGUAUGGAAACCAAUUUGACAAUAAACUUCAUAUAUCUUUACAAAAGCCACUAAAAGAUCUUGGGGAGAACACUAGGCUGCACUCUCUUGAUCUUAGUUGACUAGUAACCCUGCACUGGCUCUUUCUUCUCUAGGACAAUAUUAAUAUUGAAUGUGCACCUUGAUGAAUGAUAGGAGCAUUGUGCAAACCACUUAGUUUCCACAAGGUGGUCUGAGAAAUGUAGUAGCCAUACCAGGAUCUUCUAAAAAGUCAAGUUAAAUGGAUUCCUGUCCCACUUUUCCCUUGGAAAUUUGUUUCCAUCAGGAGGUGGAACUAAGUCAGCAAGGGGUUUCUAAGCCAACUUUGUGACAAGAUUCCCUUCUGUUAGCGGACAGCAUAGAGCACUGGUACCAGUGUAGACUCUAGAUCCAGGUAGUCCAAGUUCAACAUUUGACUUUCUAUCUCCUGACUUCAGACAACUGAAGUCUUCCUCAGUAUCUUGACUUGAAAGGAAGGUCAAUAAUUGUACCAAAUUUAAAGGGUUGCUCGGCCAAUUCUAUGCAUCAAUGUGUUUAAAGUACCUAGAACGGUACUUAACCACAUAGUAAAUGAUACACAAAUGUUAAUAAGAGAGGUGGUCAGGUGGUAAAAUCUGAUUCAGGAAAUUCCUAACAAUUUGGAAGUGGCCAAAGGCAUGAGUCAGUUUUUUUCUCCUCUGUAUUUUUAAUAUAGAAACUUCAUUAUUCAUGGGCUUAGCUGUCAACAUCCUUACUAUUAAUUAUUAUUAACCUAGAUGUCACUGGGAGUCUCUCUGCCCAUAGAGAUAUUAGUGGCUUUGGCUUAAUGCCCUAGGCUUCAAUGAUCAGGAUAAAUGUAGAGUCCUCUCCUUGACUUUGAAUAUGUCUGACAUGGUCAUAGGGACUGAAAAUUAUGGCUAAAGUGUAUUUCUCUGUCAUGUCAAAGGGAAUCUGAAGGUAAAUGUCCCCACGCAAGAUUGUGACUAUCCUGUAAAAGCAAGAACCUGGAUUCCUUCUGUCAUUCAGAUCUACCUCAUCACUUCAUCCUCCUACACAGCUGUUGCUGGAACUCCAGCCAUCACAUCCCAGUUGCAGGCCAGAAGGAAAUUUUUUAAAAUGUGAAGAAAAAAAGUGACAUUGACACUCAUUUAUUCUAUUUUUAAGCAAUCUCUACACCCAACGUGGGACUCAAACUUACAACCCCAAGGUCAAGAGUGGCAUGCUCUACCGACUGAACCAACCAGGGCCCCCAUAUUGACUCUUUUUAAAGGAUCCUUGACAGAAAUUCUAGAAAAUAAUUAUGCCUUUGUCUCUAUGGCUAGAAUGUAAUCACUUGGCCUUACCUACCUACCAGAGAGGAUCAACAAUAGCCCUUUAAAUGAGUACACGAUCAAAGGAUAGACAGGAGUAGGUAAAAUGACCCUCUUUGCCAUAUGGUUCCCUGUCCCUGUCCCCAAACAUGCUCAGAUCCAUGUGCAGACCUAGGUAUAUACUCUGCCACUCACCAGCUUUAAGAAAUCUAUCCCAUCAUAUUUUCACAGUCUUUUCGAAAAUCAUCGUGGAGUUAGAGGUGUAGGGAUCACAGGUGAGUUACUUGGCUAUUUAAGCUUAUAUCAGUGUCCCCAGAAACUUAUUCUAAGACUCCUUUCUGUCCAUCCAAAAACUGUUUUCGUGAAGCCAGAGCUCCAAACCUGUGACUUUUCCUGAAGCACACAGACCCCUGGAACAUAUAGUUUAGCUCCUGCCCCGUUUCCCCCUCAGCUCUUUGAGGGACUCAAGUGAUCAGCCAGGUAGUAAGCUGAGGAAUGAUAAUAAGGAUAGAAACCAUCUGCCCAGUGCCCCAAGUACCAUUGUCUCUGUUACAUAACUGUAAUCUCGAUAACUUAUUGUGGAGACUGUCGUCAUCUCAUUACCACCACUGAGGGAAUUCAGGCUUAAGAGAUGUUAGUAAACCCCACAAUUUUAUUUAAACAGUGCUUAAUUUUGGGUGAGUUAUGUAUCACUCAUGUAUGUGUUCAUUUAAUAUUUCUGCUAUGUUUUCACGGAGGCUCAAGGAGACAACAGUGAUUAAGUUGGUAUUAUAAUCCUGGUCAAAUAAGCUCCAUGUUUUAUAUGAUUUUCCAUCUAAUAUUCGUCUCUAGUCUCGUCUUCUCCAGGGCACACAAACUCACUGCCUUCAACUUUCUGAAACCACAAUAGCUUCAAGAUCCCUUAUCAUAAAAGUCUCCUCUCAACACAUUUUGGUUUGUCAAUGCCAUUCUUUCUUUUUUUUUUUUUUUAAGUUUUGAGAUACAGCAUGAGUAGAGGAGAGGCAGAGAGAGGGAGACAGAGAAUCUCAAGCAGGCUCCUCGCUGUCAGCACAGAGCCUGAUGCGGGGUGCAAACUCACGAAACCAUGAGAUCAUGACCUGAGCCGAAACCAAGAGUCAGACACUUAACUGACUGAGCCACCCUGGUGCCCCACCAACGCCAUUCUCGAAAUAAAACACUCAGACUUUAAUUCCUAGUUGUGGGAACUUCAGCAAAAAUAAAACCAAAAUAAGCCCUAAUUCAGGACACCCCUACCCCCAACAUGGGGCUCCAACUCACGACACUGAUAUCAAGAGGCAUGUGCUUUACUGAAUAAGCCAGCCAGGUGUCCCUAAUUCAUGAUGCUAUUAAAUAUAGACAAAGAAGAAAACUAAUUUUUAGAAAAAAAUUGUGUUACCAUUGUGUUACUAGCACCAAGUGCUAAGUUGAGUAUCGAGUUUUUGAAAGACCUUGGGUCGGACAGUUAAGUAAUAUUUAGUGGAAUGUUAGAAUGUCUAUAGAGAUUGGAAAGGUCAUGUGGCAUUGAGAUCAGAGUUGCCUUUACUGCUCACAUGAACCUCUUAAUAAUGACUAUUAUUUAUGGAGCAGUUUCCAAGUAUCAGCUACUGUGCAAGGUAUAGGACUGGAGAUAUCUUUUUAUUCUAUUUAGUAACUAUUAUUUCUAUAAAACACAAAGGGCAUCUCAGGUUCAGAAGGUCAAAUAGCCUAAUUAGAAACUCUCAGAUAGUAAAGUAGCAACAACAAGAAUCAAAUCCAUGGUUGUGCUGACGAAACCCAAAGCAAAUUACUGAAUUUUGGACCAUUUUCAUUUCUGCCCAAGGCCCCAGUUCCUCAUCUGUAAAAUCAGCAGUUUGAAUCACAGCGUCUAUAUAAGUGAUGGUGUGCUGGAGUGGACUGUGAGAGCUGAUGGUUUUAUUUUCCACCAAAAGGCUGCUAGAACUGAUACAUGAAUUCAGCAAAGUCGCAGGAUACAAAAUUAACGUACAGAAAUCAGUUGCAUUCUUAUAUACUAAUAAUGACGCAACAGAAAGACAAAGAAACUGAUCCCAUUCACAACUGCACCAAGAAUCAUAAAGUACCUAGGAAUAAACCUAACCAAAGAUGUAAAAUAUUUGUAUGCUGAAAACUAUAGAAAGCUUAUGAAG